UUAGUUUAACUUGAUUGGUAGUGUAAAAACCUAAAACAGUUUAAACUAAAUACUGAAUCGCACAUAAGAAAAUGUUUUGUAAUGAUUUUAGAGCUAACAUGAAACCGAUUAUGAUGGUACAACUAGGUAUACCUAACUAAGUAUAAUUUAGAUGAUUAAUAAAAUCGUAUUAAUUUGAUCAUUUUUAUUUUGGAAUAAAAAUGUUCAAUCUGAAAUUGAAAAUUCAUUUUUUUUUAAAAGUGAAGGUAGAAUUUGUAUUCGUUAAGAAUAUAUAAUAUUGAUUGGAUUGUAGCUGUAGAAAAUUUACUUUAAAAUUUAGUUUGUAGGAUUUUUUUAUUUAACUUUAAAAGAUAUACCUUUAAAAUUUUCUACAGUUAAAAAGAUGGAGUUUUAGAAAAUAAAAAUUUUAUAACUAUUUUUUGUGUUAUUUGGCUGUAGUUUUAUUUUUUUUGCUGUAACUUUAAAAAUUAAUAUAAAUCAUGAUUGGUAAUAUUUAAGGUUGUAGAUGAAAAUUAAAGUUAAAGUCUCCUCGUACCGUCCAACGAAUCACUCCUAAUAUGUGAUAUUAACUGAAAUAAUUUUAUUAAAUUUUAUAUAUUCUCAGUUAAAUGAUAAUCUCGAAAUUGACAAACAGAAUAUCGUUUCUUUAAUAGCUAAUCAAAGUUUAAACCAACUGCUAAUCAGAUUCAUUUUAUUAUAAUUUUUAUUUAUUUUACACCAAUUUAAUACAUUUUUUUGUCAAACCCACCAAUUUAAUACUUAUAUUUGAAACUUAUAUAACUGACUAAACCGCAUACGAGGAAAUGGGUAUCUAGUGAUUUUCUUAAAUGAGCAACAUCCCAAAAUUGAAGGUAUUUGUACUUCCAAAGAAUUUAAAACUUUGUAUAUCAUAAAAUAAUUCAUGGUCAACUACGUCUAUGAGUAAGAAAAAAAAUAUUAUAGUCGAACAGCUGUUUUUUUUUUUUUGAGAAAAUAGUUGAACAGCUGUUUUCAGGUAAUACAACAAAACGAAGCAUGCAUCCUGUCCUAGUAAUACCUAAACGAGUACAAUAAAAGUUAGUAAAAAGAGGAAAAAAUAAUGAAGAUUCCAAAAACGGCGUCAUUCAAGGGAUAAUAUACAGAAAUAGCAAAUGAAAUAUCUCAUAUAGAGUUGCAUAUAAAUGGCCGUUUAGAACUUGCACUCUAUCCUUCUUCAUCAGCAGCUUCAACGCUCAUUCCACUCCUUGCCCUCUCUACAUUUUCCCCACAAAUAAAGGAAGAUCAUUGUAUAUUCAUGUAAGUCUCUCUUCAUUUAUGUUUUAGAUGUUUUAGAUGGUUAUGUGGUUCUUUCUCUUCAUUCUUCUGUUUGAAAAUCUACUAUCAGUCAGAUUAUUCGGAUGAUCGAGUUUUAGACUAUAACUAGUAAAUCAAACAACCAAUAAAUAGAAUUGAAGGGAAUGAAAUAAAAUGAAUGAAAUGUAGUGGAAAAAUGGUCGGAUGAAAUAAAAUUAUUCUUAUGGAAUGAAAUAAAAUUAUUCAGAUGAUCGAGUUUUAUAUUACAUUCCAUUCAUCUUAUUAAAUUCCUCUUCUGUUUUGUUUUAAUUGAUAAUUUAAAUCAGUAACAACUUAUCCACAACAUUCAGGAGUGAUUUCUUUUUUAAGUUGAUAGUUAAGAGAUCCCACACAUGUUUCAUUCUACCUGAUUCAUAUAAGUCGAUCUUAUAACGCCCAAAAAUGCUACUAAAAGUUACUAAUAUUAAUCCUGUGAUGAAAUUACAGAGGUGAAUAAGAAUGCCAGGGGAUCAGUUACAAGUGUUGAAUGCACUUGAUGUAGCCAAGACGCAAUGGUACCAUUUCACGGCGAUUGUAAUCGCCGGAAUGGGAUUCUUCACCGACGCUUACGAUCUCUUUUGCAUCUCUCUCGUUACAAAGCUCCUGGGCCGCAUUUACUACCACGUUCCAGGCUCCAAGGUGCCUGGGACUCUCCCUCCCAACGUUUCCGCCGCCGUCAACGGCGUUGCCUUCUGUGGGACCCUCACCGGUCAACUCUUUUUCGGGUGGCUUGGUGAUAAGCUCGGGAGGAAGAAAGUUUACGGUAUGACGCUGAUGAUCAUGAUCCUUUGCUCUGUAGCCUCUGGUCUCUCUUUCGGACACAAGCCAAAAUCCGUGAUGGCCACGCUAUGUUUCUUUAGGUUUUGGCUUGGGUUUGGGAUUGGGGGUGACUAUCCUUUGUCCGCUACGAUCAUGUCUGAAUACGCUAACAAGAAGACUCGUGGUGCGUUUAUCGCUGCGGUUUUUGCCAUGCAAGGGUUUGGGAUUAUGGCUGGUGGCAUUUUCGCUAUUAUUAUUUCAGCUGUUUUUGAAGCUAAGUUCCCUGCUCCUACCUAUGCGGAAGAUGCCUUGCGAUCCACGGUACCACAAGCAGAUUUUGUAUGGCGUAUAAUCCUGAUGUUUGGUGCUCUUCCUGCGGCAAUGACGUUUUACUCUAGGUCAAAGAUGCCUGAAACCGCGAGAUACACAGCUUUGGUUGCUAAAGACGCAAAGCAAGCUGCUUCAGAUAUGGCUAGGGUUUUGCAAGUGGAGAUAGAGGCGGAGCAGGGGAUAGUGGAAUAUAUCUCAAAUGAUAAGUCUAAAUCAUAUUCCUUGUUCUCCAAGGAAUUCAUGAAACGUCAUGGACUUCAUUUGCUGGGGACUGCAUCAACAUGGUUCCUUCUCGACAUCGCUUUCUACAGUUCAAACCUUUUCCAGAAAGAUAUUUUCAGUGCAAUUGGCUGGAUACCUCCGGCUCAAACCAUGAGCGCGAUUCAAGAAGUUUUCAAGAUCGCACGAGCGCAAACACUCAUUGCCUUGUGUAGCACGAUGCCUGGUUACUGGUUCACAGUUGCUUUCAUCGACGUCAUUGGAAGAUUUGCUAUACAGCUGAUGGGAUUCUUCUUCAUGACGGUCUUUAUGUUUGCUCUAGCUAUUCCUUACGACCACUGGACUCACAAGGAGAACCGAAUUGGAUUCGUAGUCAUGUACUCGUUAACAUUCUUUUUUGCCAACUUUGGACCUAAUGUUACAACCUUUGUUGUACCGGCUGAGAUAUUUCCGGCCCGGUUCAGAUCCACAUGCCAUGGUAUCUCUGCAGCAUCAGGAAAAUUGGGUGCAAUUGUUGGUGCUUUUGGGUUUUUGUACUUGGCUCAAAGUCCAGAUAAGAACAAGACAAGUGCAGGAUAUCCUCCAGGGAUUGGUGUCAAGAACUCGCUUAUCAUGUUAGGUGUGGUUAGCUUUUUGGGUAUUCUCUUCACUUUCUUGGUGCCUGAAGCUAAAGGUAAGUCGCUUGAAGAAAUAUCUGGUGAAAAUGGAGACAAUCAUGAGAACACCAACAAUGGGAAUAGAACGGUCCCAAUUGUUUAGGUGAUAAUACACCUUUUGUUAUUCUUAUUUUUUUUUCUUCUCUCAAGUUUUUUUGUGUGUGCGCGGGUGAUCUAUUGAUGUUUAAAUAAAGUGUUACAGAAAACCAAAACAUUCACGAAUCGGUUUAAGCUCGAUUUCUAAAUUGGACAAGAGCUGAUCUUAUCCUUUUCACUGUUUAUUUGGGCUUAACAUAUAUUGGAUUAUUUUUCCUCCCCGAGUUCUGUUUGUAAACUAGCCCACUGGGCUUUAUAAUUAAUAUGAAGUGGACCACAAAAAGAAACGUUUUUAAAAAUGCUCUAGUAAUAGUAGUCAACCUUCAUAACUAAUGAGAAUGACCAAUUAUAUACAGAAAACUAGGUAGAAAUCAAAUAAUUUUAAUAUAUCAAUAAAUAACAGUAUACUAUAAAUCAAUGAUAAAAAUGUUGACAAAAAAACAGUAUAUAUAAAAACUACACAUAUAAUGUAUAUAGAUAUUAAUGUGUUUAAUUUUUUAUAAGUAAAUGUGAUUAACUAACUAUCUAAUAAAAUCCAAGACAUACAUCAUAAACUGCAGCGUCAGAUAUAUAUAUAUAUAUAUAUAUUAUAAUAUUAUCUUUAAAAAAAAUCUUGUCAUUAAAAUUAAAAACAUGAGAAAAUAUAAAAAAUAAAGAGAGAAAUUUGUUUCUCUUAUAAGAGAUUUCUUAUGAGAUUUUUUUUUUUCAAUUAAGAAAUGUAUCUGAAACUUGUUUGCUUCGUGUUCAGUGUCCUCCUCUAAACUGUCUUAUUUGGUAGCACUCGCACAAGGAAAUGAACAUAUUUUAUUUCUUAUCUCCACUGAUAAAAAGGACCAGAAGUAUUUGCUUCGGUAAUAUCUGCAACUCUUCAGACCUCUGUUCUCCUGGGUGUGUGUUCUACUUUGAUUCUCGUCUUUUAAAAAAUGUUAUCUUUCAAUUGCCAAACAGUUCAAUUUUUUUUUUUCCGGGUUAGAUUUUGUAUCCUAAGAUUCGAUACUUGUUUUGAGACGCUUAGGUUCAAUCUUAGCUAGGGGCUGCAAAUGAUUUGCAUCUUUAUGAUUGAAAAGGAGCUUCCUUUAGUGAACCCAUUUUGAAAGAAGUUUCAUUUUGAGAAACCCAGAACGUUUUAAUGUAAAGAUUGGCUUUUAAAUAUCUGAAUCUGUUCGAAAGUUAGUUUCCUGUAGGAAGGAGUAAGGUUCCAAGACCAACCAAGAGGAGAAUUUUAUUAAUAAUACUUGUUCUGUGGUUUGUUGUGAUGUUUAUAAUAAGGCACUAAUGAUGAUGAAACGAUCUUAUCUACUGCAGAUUAUUGUUCAAUACACUAGACUACUGGGAGGUGGCUGUAAGGUUUAAUGGGCAUUGAAGGUGGGAACACAAGUUCGAAAUCUGGAAAUGUGGACAAGUUCUUGUCACCUCCGCCAGGUUUUGAAGGUUGUUCCAAAUCUGUAAAGGUGGACAAGUUGUUGUCACCUCCACCAGGCUUUGAAGGUGUGAACAGAAGUUCGAAAUCUGGAAAUGUAGACAAGUUCUUGUCACCUCCGCCAGGCUUUGAAGGUGUGAACAGAAGUUCGAAAUCUGGAAAUGUAGACAAGUUCUUGUCACCUCCGCCAGGUUUUGAGUCUCAAGCAAGGUUUGUGCUUAGGAAGGUACAAGAGAAGACAAAUGGAUUCCGUCCAGGAGAUGCAGAUAGUUUCCAGAAGCUUGUUAACAGCCGACCGUGGAUUGUGCAUGAUCAUACAACUCCCAGCUCAGGGGUCUUAAAGCCAACGAAACCUCAGGUCCCAUUACUAUCAUACUAUGUCUAACUUCUUUCCUGUCUUUUAACUUAUUAUGCUCUUGUGGUGAAUGGUAUGUGGAUCUGUUUUCUUAUCAUUUCUCAGUUCUUUUGUCUGCCUAAUACAAUCAUAUGGUUGUGAAUAGACACUAGGCUUGAUGUAUAAGAUGUUGGUUAAGGUAGAGUUUUUCUUACUGUGGAUUCCAUAUCCCUACUAUCCCCUUAUGGUUUUAGUUACUUUAAUGUCUGCAAAAAUGAUUUAGUGGAGCUUGAUGUGCCAAUUCAGAUAGCUAUACUAUGCUUUUAGAUGUAUGAGAAUGUAGGUAUCAAGAAUGUAUGUUGAGUCUUUGCUAAAGUAAUUACUAAUUCAUUUCACAGGUACAUCCAAGACGGCUACCGAGAGUCUCCAAGAAGGUUGUCCUUGAGGAAGCUCCAGUGUUUAACCCAACCGAGAAGGUUAGUUUUGCUUUGCUUUGCUUUGAUGGAAAGAAAAAUUAGGGUAUUAAAUUGCUUUAGUCUUCUUUGGUAAUAUGUUACUUUUUCUCUAACCUAGAGUUACCGAAUGUUCAGGAAUACAAUGACACACUAUCUUACAUUGCAAGCUUGCGUGACAUAUCUGAACCUCAUGGAAUCUGUUGUGUGGUUCCUCCUCCUUCAUGGGAUCCUCCAUGUCUUCUUGGCGAGAGAAAAAUAUGGGAGGGAUCCAGAUUUUUCACUCAAGUCCAGAUCUUUGAUGGAGUUCAGACCGAGGACCCAAAGAUCAAAAAGGAGACUGAUGCUGAUAGUGAUGAUGAUGAUACGUUUCACAAGGUUAAGUUCUGUAGAACAGAACUUGGUAAUGAGUAUACUUUGGAGACGUUCAAGAACUUUGCAGAUUCAUACUUGGAGAGCCAUUUUCGCGUAAAGGAGAAGGUUCUGGCUUCCAUGUAUUCAUCUCCAUCCGUAGACGCAUGGCCAACGGUGGCAGACGUUGAGAAAGAGUUUAGAAAACUUCUUGAGAAUCCAUUUGUUGAACUAGGGGUAAUGUUAAAAAAUCAAGUUUAUUGCUUUUAUAUAUACUGUAUAUGAAACUGGCUAAGGUACUAACUCGUGGUGUAAAAUUAGGUGCUUUAUGGGAAUAAUAUAGAUACCAAAACGUUUGGCAGUGGAUUUCCUUUAUCUGGAUCAUCUGAAUCUUGCAAGUACAAAACAUCAGGUUGGAAUCUGAACAACACAGCGAAGCUUCCUGGCUCUCUUCUAACGUUUGACGACUGUGAAUCAGUUUGUGUUCCUCGCUUAAGUGUGGGAAUGUGCUUGUCUUCCCAGUUGUGGGUAAGUUUUAAUGUUCAUGUCAAGCUGUGUUGUCAUUUUCUGUCAGAAAUAGCAUCUAUUCUGCAAGCUAUCACUAUACUUUUUUUCUCAGUGUUCUAAAAGUCGGUCUAGGCGGCAAACUGGUUCUAAACGAAACGAGUUUUCAAAAACGAUUAAGAAAAAGAAAGGAAAAUCGGUCUAGAUGCUCAAAAAAUGGGUCUACCGCCUACCAGUUUCUUGAACAUUGGUUGUUCUUGCAUUGGUUGUUCUUGCAGCGUUUUUAAGUUUUGCAAUCUAAUUUGCUUCUAUUGUCUCGUGGAAUAUAUGAUGCUGAACAGAAAUCUGAGAAGGAGAGACUCUACUCGCUCUGCUAUCUGCAUACAGGCGCUCCUAGAGUGUGGUAUUCUGUUGCAGGGUGUCAUCGUUAUAAGUUCAAGGCUUUCAUGGAGAGCUUUGUCCCUAAGGUGUCAGGAGAACAGUCAAAGAGGAGUUAUGAUUCUGUAAGUAGUUAAAAGUCACUACGCAUCUAUGCAAGUCACUCUUUUUCAAAACUCAGAAAGAAAACACAAGGGAAGCUAAUUAAUUUGGCAGGUGAUGGCAAUGUCUCCAUAUGCGUUGCACAUGGAAGGUAUACCAGUGACCCGGUGUGUCCAGAACCGUGGACAGUAUGUUAUAUUGUUUCCAGGGACGUAUUACUCUGCCGUUGACUGUGGCUUUAACUGUCUGGAGAUAGCAAAUUUCGCUACCCUUGAUUGGUUACCCCAUAAGGAAAUUGAUGCUCUGCAGAAUCAAGAGAAGAAACGAAAAUCGUUAUUAUCGUAUGACAAGGUACUGUUUGGAGCUGCUAGUGAAGCUGUGAAAUGCCUUAAGGAAUACUCUUUGACCAAGAAGGAAACAUCAGGCAAUAUGAGAUGGUUUAAUGCUUGUGGUAAGGAGGGGAUGUUCUCCAACACUGUUAAGGUAUGCUCACCCUUCUUCUUUGCUUGUCUUAGGAACUUGCUCACUACCUUCUUCUCUUUUUAUGUAGUCACGGGUCAAGAAGGAGAAAAGCAGAGUUCAGUACCUUAGUGGUCCACUAAAACCACAAAGGAUGAAGGAGAGUUUUGAUGAUGUGAGCAAGAGGGCAUGCUGUGUAUGCUUUGUGGAUUUGCAUCUUUCCGCUGUGCAGUGUUCAUGUUCUGCUGACCGUUACUCGUGUCUGAGCCACAUGAAGAAUCUCUGUGCCUGUCCGUAUGACAAGAAGAGUUUUCUGUAUAGGUACACCAUCGAUGAGCUGAACAUUCUUGCAGAGGCGUUGGAACAACGUAAGCUCAGCUGUAUGUUCAAAUGGGGAAACAUAGAUGGCAACUAUUGUGCUUCUCCUGCCAUCAGAAGUUCACAACCUGGUGGGGACAAAGGCAAGACAACAGAUGAGGUUAUGCAAGAUGUUGAAACUGGGGGUAAGGAGCAGAUGAAGGCAAGAGGGAAAGUGAGAUCAAUCAUAGAGAUAAUGAAUGUCAAAGAGGAAAAUGAUAAUGAGUCAGGGCCUGUGGACCCUAAACCCUUGUUCUAAUAAAUCAAUCAGGCCAUGGGAUUCUUCUGCUGUCAACAUGGCAAAGAAGCAGAAGGAGGGAUGGAUAUAAAAGGAAUGUUUUGGUUUUAAGUAGUUUAGUCAAAGGAGUAGAUUGGUUUGCAAAUUUGCACCAUUAUGUUAGCCACAAAAAAAAAUUUAAACCCUAGAAGUACAACUCUAAAGUCAAAUUUGUUUGAAAACAGUUCUGUUUGCUUAAAAAUAUUUUUAUAUAUUUUUCUUAUAAAAUUUAUUAAUAUAUUACGAGAAUUAUAUAUUCUAGCCAAUCCUGUUUGCCAAGAAGGGAAACCACAAGCUGCUGUUGACCAUACCGUACACACUGGAACUUUCACGGGACAGUCACAGAUAAUCCCUUGACUAGUGAAUAGUGAUGAUGAAAUUGACACAGUGACACUGGUCUGUCUACCUGACUUUCAUUCGAAGUCUUAAUUAUCUCUGUUUCUUGGUUUUUUGGUAUGUUUUAUGCAUUUCGUACUUAACUCUUUAUCUCUCAGUUUUUGAUGAACAAGUGCAUGACUGCAGAUGAAAUGACAUAUAUUAAUCUUGGGCUGAAUCAUGAACGGUACACUGGCUAUAUUGGGCCGUCAGCUAGAAGGAUAUGGGAUGCUGUAUACUCCGAGAAAUGUCCCAAAUGUAAGCAACACUUACUCCAUUCUUCUUUAGUUUCUUUAUACCCUUAUUUUCCAAGUGGCUGAUUAAUUCAUAUUGGAUUCCUAACAACCCCUGUAAUAUACUGGCUUCUAUGUGAUGAGCAAAUACAUCUGAACAGUAGUGCCAAGAAGAAAAGAUAGUGUACAAAAUGGUCUCUGGUCUUCACUCAUCUAAUAUCAGUUCAUAUAACUUCAGAUUACUCUCUGUGUGGUUUUUGUCUGUUAUUGUUUAAUUAGAUUAAAGAGGGACGAACAUUUUAUAUAAAUUAUCUUUACGUAUUAUACAUUCUUAUUAUUUUCCAUAUUAUGAAAUAAUAAAUAUAUAUAUAAUAAUUAAAAGUUCAGUAACUAUUAGUAUAUAAUUAAAUUAGUACGAACACAUAACAUUUUUUUAUUGAUCCACACAAACACUUUUUAUAUUUUAUAUGAUAUAUAAUAAAAUUUAACUGAUAAUAACAUGUAUAUAUAUAGUAUAUUUUAAAUAUUAAUAUCUAUUAAAUAAUGUUUUUUACUCAUAUUGUUUUUGGUAGAGGAUACACUAAUUUUUAACAAAUUUUUAUUACUCAAAAUCAAUAAAUUGUUAUAUAUACUUUAGCCACUUAAACAAUUCCGUAAUUUUUAUUUUAAAAAAGAAUGAAUAAUAUUAAUAAUUAAUUUAUGGUUAGUUUAAUAAAAGCUUAUUAUAUAUUUAGAUGGACCAUAUUUCUCUAAAGAUUUUAAGAAUUAUUGUUGUGAUGACACAUGACUAUCUCAUACGUUAUAAACUUAUAAUGCUUCUCUUUUAAUAUAUAAGGGAUACAUAAUAUGUCUUAUUUAUCAAACAAUUACAUAUAACUUUAAUGUUUCCGAAUUUGAAUGAUUUGAUCUUGUUAGACAAGUUUAUAUCUUCAAACUAUAAAAACAUACGUAAGGUAAACAUAAAUUUGAGCAUGUUAAUAAAUGUCUACAUAUAAACUUCUAAGAUAUAAACUUCCAUAAACGUCUAAGAUAUAAACUUAUAUAAACCCACCAUUCAAGUUGAAAGCCAACAGUUCUUUAGUCGUCGAUUGAUAUUUUUGCGAGUAGUCCAGUGCUUGAGAAACUUUAUCUCUGCAUUUCUCUUAGCCUUCUUCUUCCUCCUUUUUACAGUUAUCCCACUUUAGAAUCUAUAACUUAUCUGACUUAAUAUAUAGACAUGAGACGAAUAUGAGAGACAAUGCAUGUAGUCAAAGUAUGGGACGAGGAUGCUCCAUUUGCUGAAUAUCUUUCACGUCACCUUCUGAUCGACAAUCUGGUUUAAGAAACAAAGAUAUAAAUCAACAAUUGCAAACAAAUAUAUAUAUUGCAAACCAAAUCAUCAAGCGAUUUAAGAAUUGAUAUACCUUGUCUUUGGUGUCUUCAUCACUUUUUCAUCCUAGAGUUUCUGGAAAUAGUAAACACUGCACAAAUAGUGAAUACCGCACAAAUCUUCUUUUUGUCUUGAGUGGCAGACUUCCCAUAGAUGCCUCUUUUAUCAAGAAAGCCAAAACGAGGUAUUUUCUUUCAUGUAGUGGAUAACAACACUGACUAGUAAAAGCAUUCAUUUUUUUAUGAAAGUAAAAGCAUUUAUUUGUUUUCAUAAAUCUUGCAACUAAACUUCAUAAUCCGCAAAAUAAAAUGGAUAAAAGAGAUGUCUAUAAUAUUAUUUGAGAAAUCAUUUAUCUAUGUGUCAUCAAUUACAAUGAUAUCCUUAAUGAAUAACAUAUUUUACUAAUUGCCAUUAUAACAUUGUCUAUUUUUUUUGAUAACCUUUUAAAAAUUAUAUCAAUAUCAAAAAGGAAUUUAGUAUCACAAAGGUAAUACUUUAGAAAUAAAAAUAUAUAGCAUUAUGUUAUAUUUAAAACAUGUGAUUCAACAAUAUGUAAUUCCAUUUUAUAUAAAUCUCAAUUUCACAAAAUUUUAUAUUUCUUGAUCAUGUUAGUUAAACUAAAUUUUUUAAAAAUAUUAAAAUAUAUAAUACUUUUUUAUUAAAAAAAUUAGUUACGAAGCAAGUACUUACUUUAAGAUAUUAAACAACUUUAUUUUUUCUUAUUUUCAAAAUUCCUAAAAUGCUAUGUAAUUAUACUUAUGCUAUUUAAUUAUACUUUUGGAUAAUUACAAUAUCUUAUUUUAAACAUAUUUUCUCAUAAUUUUAUGGAAUUUUAUUUUCCUAAUUAAAGAUUCUCAAGCCUAAUACAAUAUGGAUAGGGAUAGCAAUGUUGGACCUGGACCGCAUGCUUGGCCCAUUAGAGAUUGCUGCGGGCGGAUUUGGGCCGGCAUAUGAUAAGCCCAAAAAGAGCGGGCCUUGCGGGCUGGGACUGUGCGGGAUUGGGCUUAAUGCAGGAUGGGCCGCAGGUUGACUUGCGGGAUUCUAAUGACCCGCAAACUGAUCUUCACCUGAAAAAAAAUGAGAAAAGAGAGCAGAAAAGGCGAUUAGGGGUUAGAUCUUCACCGACAACCUAUGGAGCUCCGGUGACGGGAGGGUCGGUGAUGCUUCUGGUCUCCCAUGUGUCUUCGAUAUCCACCAUUGGAGCUUCUUCAAGCCACCAAAAGAAGUGGGCAAACUCACUUUCCACCGAAGAAAAAGAUCCAGCUCCGGCGAUGGGUUCUUCAGCGAUGGUGGUUGGAGCGACUCCUUCGAUCGAUGCAUGUCACAGGUAAGGAUAUACAACCAUGUUUUGUUGUCGAUUUAUAUUCUCGGGUCUAACACUCUAACUCAUCGGUAUGGUGAUUUGGCUGCAAUGGCUUGUGAUCUGCUUAGUAUUCCUAUAACAACUGUAACUUUGGAGUCCUUUUUUAGUAUUGGAUCGUGAGUUCUAAAUAAGUAUAGGAGCUGUGUAAUUCCAAGAAUGUGCAAGCUCUGAUUUGCACUAGGAGUUGGCUAAAACGAUAUAAAGCUUAUGAACAUAGUAAAUUGUUCACAAUAUCAUAUAUUUUGGAGUUUUAUGUUUCAAUAUAUCUUUAACUAAAUUGAAUUAUUAUUAUUUCCAGAAGAUGAAGUUGAUGCUGAAGAAGACACACUCCCAUCAUUUGAAUUGAUUGUUGCUGAAGAAGUUGAAGAACAAGAAGUGUGAUUUGUUGUUUUGAUUUGGUGUUCUCUUUUUAAUUACUUUUCAGAUUGACAUCUUUGAUUUGAUGUUUGGUUUUAUUUAAUUUUGGAUUCAGCAAACUAAAGCAUUGGUUGUGAACUUAUGAUUUUUCGAUUCAGCAAACUAAACAUCAUACAUAAACAAACAAAUAAAUGGUCAAAAAGGUUAAGCAUGAUUUUAAUGCUGAUAUCAUUAUUAGCAAGUUCAUUAUAUUUGAGGCAAAAUUAUUAUUAAAAAAACAUAACUAAUACGAGUAAAUUUUGUUGUUACGUAGAAUGUUUAAAGAUAUAGGAUUAAGAAAAAAAUAUUCUUAACCAUGUAUACCUAUAAGCCUACAUGUAAUAUGAAGAACAAUUUUAAUAAUAAAACGCACAGGAAAUAACAUCCCAAGACAAUCUUCUGGGGCUUUCAGUAGAACAAAGCAACAUUCUUUUGUGAUAAUUUUCAACUGGAAUUUCUUCACUGCAUCUAUGCAAUUUGGAACUUUCCUAACAUCGUUUACACACUGAAGUGGAUUUGGUAGGAAUCCUUCCUCUGACAUUAGAGCAAGCGGAGCAUUUGCAUUACCUUUCGUAUUUUGAGAAAUCGAUAGUAGCACUACCAGCAAUAACAUAGUCAAUACAUAAACUUUUUGCUUGUUCUCAAUCAUUGUUUAGUGUUUAUUUAUUUUGUGAUUACUGUUAUGACAUUUUCUUGAUAUUUAUAUAUGUCUAUGAUCAUGACUUUUUUAGUAAAUGAGAUAUGAGGUGAUUUCAUUUGAUUUUUUUACAUAUAUGUACUAGUAAUUUUAACCAUCUUACCUUUAUUAGAAAAAAUACAAUGUAUAACGCCAAAUUAACAAAUGUACGAUAAAAAUGGUAUAAAAUAUAUUACAUUAACAAUUUACAUGUGUUCAUUAUUAUAUUGGUAUCAAAAAAGAUUUAACUUUAGUAGAAUUAAUUAUAUGGUUUAUAUUAUUAUUGAAACUAUUAAAUAAAAAUUUAGGGAAUCAAGAUAUUGUUUUAUUAUAAACCUUCUUAAAACCAUGUUAGAUUGUUAAUAAUAGAAAAGCUAUUGUUCCCUAGACAUUAUUUGAGAAUUGAUUUGCCAUGUGUCAUCACCAUAAUGAUUUUGAAAGAAAAAUGAUGACAUGCUAUGAUAUCGAAUGAUGACUUGAAGGUAAAUAUGACAUGGAUAUUUUACAUUUGAUGAAUAUAGAUUCUGUAAAAUCUUCCUUGCGACAUCGACACCUUGACCGUAUAAUCUUCUGUGAAUCCCAUCUAUAUGAUGGUAUAUAUUGUAUUUCGGUUUGAUUAUCCUUUCUUUAUAUAACUCUAACAAGGUGUUUUUCAUGGUGGUAAUCUCUUCCAGAAGCAUUGAAUCCUUGGAACAAAAUCGUUGGGCCAUAAAAGGCACAGACAAACAUCGACGGAAGUAGACUUUAUUAAUUGAGGCCAACUCACCAGAGAUAAACUCUUACGAAGGAAGAUACACCAUACAUCAAACACACCAUCCCAUGUUAUUAUCAUCUUCUCCGAAUAGAAACCAAUUAUAAUACGCAUGAAUAUAUUUACAGUCACCACCGGGAAGAGGAAACGACGAGAGUACCAUAUCGAAUAAAAUCAUUGUUUAUAUGUUUCCCAAAACGAUAACAAGAUUACUGAAACAAACAUCAUAGAUAUUGUCAAUGGAUUCAUAAAUGAAGUAAAAGUAAGGAACAAACAAGUAAUUGGGUGAAAAAUUGGCGACCAGAACCACCCAAGUCUCAUUAGAAACCGCCAAGAAAUCGCCAUACAAUCGCCACAAGUAACAUAGUGUUUCUUACAUACCAUGAGUAAAUUUUAUAUAAUUUUAGAGUUGAAAUGCUUUGAAUCAGUUGUAAAUUUUAUAAUUGUACCAAAUAAUUUUAAUAAAGCUGAAAGAAAAACUUUCUAAUCUUUCGAAUUUUCAAAAGACAUGUAUAGAUCAUUACACAAAGUAAAACCAUAAAUUUAAAAUAUCACAAAUAUAAUAAUUUCAAGUUAUUUAGAAAAAGAAAAAAUAUCCAAAAGUACCACAAAGACAUGUUAUAUACAAUCUCAAAAGUCAAUCAUGGAUAGAUAAGUUUUUAUCCAAAAGUACCACAAAGACAUGUUAUAUACAAUCUCAAAAGUCAAUCAUGGAUAGAUAAGUUUUUGUGUGAAAAAUGAAAUUCAUAAAACUUAUGCAAGAGAAAAGUAAAUUAAACAACCAAUUUGCACAUGAACCAACAAAGUGUUAUCCACACAUAAUAUGUUUAAUUCUACAUACUUGUUGCAUGAUUUUAUUUAUCAGUUGAAUUAUUCCUACCAAAAGUAUCACAAAAUAGUCUAUUUAUAUUACAAGUAUUAUAUAAGAAUUGUCGAGAUGUAGAUGAUUUAUCUGCAGUAAAAUUUAUCUGAUGAAAGUUAAAGUAGUCAUUCACCAGUUACAAAAAAAUUAUCCAUUCACCGAGAUCAUAAUUAUGUACUUACAUAUCAACUGUAUAUUCUUACUUUGUCUUAUAUAAACCAUAUUCACUCAAUAAAUACCUAUAUAUUUGGAAAAAUAUUAGGAAAAAAUGUGGUAUAGUUUACAUUUUCACACUAGUUUGUCUAAUUUCAAAGUACUUGUUGUAUCAUCUCUAAUAUGCAUAUUAUAUAGUUUAAUAUAAAAUUAAUUAUAGUACUAAGAAUUUUCUAUUAUGUCCUUCAGAUAAACAAACAAUAUGGAUAAUAAUGCUAAAAGUUGAAAUAUCAAAUCAUAAAACAACAAACUAAACUCCUAGUAACAUCUAAUAGGGGGAAAUAAGGGGUAAAAAUUAUUUUUAACCUCUUUGAAGAAUUUAAAUGGAUAUUCUUAUCUUUUUACAAUCAAACAUAUUUUCUUAAUGAAGGUUGACCUUUACCUGGAUAUGCUAGAAAGCCACAUUACAACUUUUAAAAAUAUAGCAUGCCAUUAAAGAAAAUAUUACGUUUAUAAGAAAAUUUUGAUAUGAUAAUUCUUUUGUUUAAAUACUAAACAAAUAAUAAAUCUAUUCUUCUGGUUGAAAUAAUAUGCCUACCAAUUGAAAGAAAACAUAACAUGAUAAUUAGAGUUUUUAAUUACGAUAUAAUAUGAUAAUAUAUUUGACUAUUAUUAAUGUGAUCGUAAUGUUAACACCCAUGUUUGAAACUACGCUAGCCGUAAGUCGGGUGACCCUAGCGAGUUAAUAGAAAAUCUGAGAUUAACUGGGGAUUAAUCGGAAUUAGUUUUUAGUACUUAUCUUAAUUUUUUGUAGAAAUGUAUAUCCUAAAUAUUUAUCUGUUUUUUUUUCUUUUAUUAAUGAAAAAUUGUAAUUAAGUUGUAUUCUUUUUUCUAGGGAUUUCAAUUCUUUUCUGAUUUUUAAUGACCGCCUCACCCUUUUAACAUAAUACAUUGCUUUCUUUGCGGAUUUCUUAUUAUUUAUGCAUAAAAAGUAUAGAUUUGUUACGUAACUUCAAUUUUCAAGCGUUUAAAACCCAAAAACACGAACUUUUUCUACGAAUCCGAUUUUUUGUUCGAUUUUAAUGGAAUCGCCACGGUUUUUCACCGUCGAGCGUUGCACUACCGUUUUAUACUAUUAUUUUCUAUAUAUAUAAUAAAUAACUAUUUAAAUAAAUAAAUAUCUAAAAAAAUCAAACCCUAAACCCUAAAACUCAACUCUAAACCCUAAAUCAUCAAUCACAAAAUAUAAAAAAAAAAAAGUCAAGACUAGUGAAACUACAUGUUUCAUAAAUCUUAAAAAUUAAUUAUUUUUUAUAAAAUAUAAAACUAUACAAAAUUGUAAUUUUUAUAAAGAUUUUAUAUUCAUUUCUUAAUUUAAUACUUUAAAAUUAAUUUUAUAAAUAAAAGUAAUAAAUUCAUGUUAAAUAAUAAUUACUUAAUAUUAUACAUUUAAAAUUUUAUAUUUAAUUGUAGAUAUUUAUUUGUAAAAAAGUCGGAGCAAAGCGGAUAUCCGAAAAAAUUUAGUAUUUGUGUUUUUCUUCGUCUUUAGUGGAUUUUAAUUUUUGAUAUUUGUUUUAUUCCAAAACUUAGGAAUAUCCAGAUUUUUGUACCGAAUUGAAACGAAUAAUGAAUAGAAUCAAAAUAAACUGAUAAAAUGUCAGCCCUAUUCAUAAUGCCGAGACCUAAUCCUAAUGCGAAGACCCUUUGAUUUGUGACAAGACACUGACUCGAGACAAUAAUUGACAAAUGAAAUUAAUAAUUCAGAAAGAGAUCUUUUAGAUAUUGGUAGUAUCUAAGUCAGAGCUUUCUCAGUUAACAAUAAAAUAGAAAAAUAAAGAGAGAAUAGUAUAGAAAGAAGCGAGAGACCUUCAAGAGAAACUUUUAUUAUACUUAUCAUUGUUCAAAAAUUUUAUACAUGAAUUAUAAUAUUAAUAUUAUAUUGUGAGAUAUUUUUUGUUAAGAUAUUCUACUGAUGCACAUUAAUAAAGUCUACCGGCAUUUAAUCAAGAUGGAUAGAGGGGGGGGGCCGCACUUGUCCCGCAAACCGCAUGAACCGCAGUUGUACUGUACCGCACUUUAAUUCCGCACCGCUUAUUUUAUCAAAUCUGCGGUUCCCAUUCGGUAGAUAUUGGUAGUAUCUAAGUCAGAGCUUUCUCAGUUAACAAUAAAAUAGAAAAAUCAAGAGAGAAUAGUAUAGAAAGAAGGCGAGAGAACUUCAAGAGAAACUUUUAUUGUACUUAUCAUUGUUUAAAAAUUUUAUACAUGAAUUAUAAUAUUAAUAUUUUAUUGUGAGAUAUUUUUUAUUAAGAUAUUCUACUGAUGCACAUUAAUAAAGUCUACCGCCAGCGCCAUUAGUAUAUAUAAGAGCCUAGCGCUGUUGGAGAAUAAUCAAUUUAAAUAUGAAAAAGGGUAAAGACAUUGAUAGAGAGGAGCGAGAGACAGCAGCAAAUGAGCCGCUUAGUCCGGUUUCGCAGUUGUUUGUUUUGCCAGGCCUUUACUGCGUCAUUGUUUUAACACUAGGGUUUAAAACUAGAUGCAACCCAUCUGCCAUUGUUGAAGGUAUCAAGAACACAUGGAUCAAGCUCCCUCGCUUCUCUAGCAAAGUGGUAAACAUACUUACAUGCUUUAAUUUUACAAACAAGAGAAUUUGUUAUCAUGACAUGUAGUUACUAGUUUUAGUUCAAAAAAAAGACAUGUAGUUACUAGUUUGUUAUCAUGACAUGUAGUUGCAUGCAUGUUGCUCGAAAAAUGUUAAAAAGUAGACUCAAUUUGGUUGUUAUGAAAUAAAAAUACUUGAAUAUAUAUGUAUAGAUAUGUGUGUGUGUGUGUGUAUAUAUAUAUAUUAUUUUCUUUGUUCAUAAAUUUAUAUUUUAGGAGAUGAAGAAAAAUGGACAAGCGGUUUGGGUCCCUGUUACUGUUCGAGUUGAAGAUCAUGUUAUUGUACCAGAUCUUGACCAUUUCAACAUUGAAAAUCCUGAUCAAUUUAUAGAAGACUAUACGUCAAACAUUGCUAGUACUCCAAUGGAUAUGUCCAGACCUUUAUGGGAAUUUCAUGUGCUGAAUGUAAAGACAUCAAGCGCAAAAUCUGUAGGCAUAGGAAAAUUACAUCAUUCACUAGGCGAUGGGGUGUCUCUUAUGUCUCUUCUACUCGCUAGUUCACGAAAAGUAUCAGACCCCAAGGCUCCUCCAACUACAACGGCUACAAAAAAACAUGCUGAUUCAAGUGCUAAGGGUUGGUGGUGUAUUAGGAGAUUUUGGUUGGUGAUAAAUAUCAUUUUCACAACUCUUAUUGAAUUGUUCAAGUUUUGGCUUACUCUAUGUUUUAUGCGUGAUACGAAAACUCCUCUCAUGAGUGAACCGGGAGAUACAGUUCGACCUAGAAAAUGUAUCAAUAGGAUAAUAAGCUUGGAUGAUGUCAAAAUGAUAAAGAACACAAUGGAAAUGGUAAGCAUAUUAAUAUUUUAAUAUUAUGUUUCUUUAUAUUGACCAGUUGUCUUGUUUUUUUUUUUGUAGAAAGUAAAUGAUGUUCUUCUUGGAAUGACACAGGCAGGUCUCUCAAGAUAUUUGAGCAAAAAAUCUGGUAUUUUAAAAUUCUUUCCCAGUCUACUAGCUAGUGUUCUUGACCUUAAUAUUGUUAUAAAUCUAGUUUUAGUAGCUUUUGUAGAUGAAAAAAACAAAGUGAAAAAGAUAUGAAAAUAUAAUGGCCUUGGAAAAACACUCGCAAGUCUAAUAUUUGUUCUUUCAAUUAAUUAUCAAUUGCUUACAAAAAAAAUAAUUAUCAAUUUAUUGCAAUUUUUAAUAUCUAUUUCACAACUAAGAAAUAUGUACCUUAAAAUUUAGGGGAAUUGCCACUAAUACCACUUUCCUAAUACCACUUUUCAACUUUACACUUUUCAAAUUUACCUUUAAAAUUUUAAUGGGUAAAGUACCAUUAUACCCUUAUUUAAUCAAACAUAAACCUAGUGUCUUUCUUCCACGAUUUCUUCAAUCUCAGAUCCACUAAUAACAAUCUAUCAAAUUCUCUUCGGUGAUCAAAUCCGGCGAGAUUCGAUGAUUCUGAGGAGUUUUCCGGCGAGAUUUGACGACACCGGCGAGUUCUCCGGCGAGAUUUGAAGACGCCGACGAAUUCUCCGACGAGAUUUGAUGACGCUGACGUUCGGUGAGAUUUGACGAAGACUUCAACCUCAAACGAACAGAACAAAACGACUUCUUACCACUAACACGUAACAAAGGUGAGAGGAUAAUAUAUGGUGAUUUUCGUCACUUUCUGUAAUUUUUCUCAUAAUCGAUCAAUUUCUGGGUAUAUAUAUAAUAAAUAACUAUUUAAAUAAAUAAAUAAAAAAAUAUUUUUAUGUUUUUGAAUUAUACUUUAUGAUAUUUGAACUUUUAAUAAAUUUUAAAAUGAUACUAUCUUACUUGUGAGGAUAUAUUUUUGAGAUAAUGAGGGAAGAGCAAUUGAGCAUGCCAUGCUCUAAGAUACGAAUUGACUGCACAAUAAAGAUACGUUCAGAGUCUCGUCCUUCGGAGACCUUUGGUUUAACAUGUUAACUCCACCUGACUCGUCAUUUACUCGGUCCAUUAUUACUUUGGGUCUCUGUGGGUUUGGGUCCUAACCUAUAAUUUGGUUCGAAUUUUUAGAAUUAUUAUCUUUUCCAGCAUUAAAUUCAGCGCUAGAGAGGAAGUGCGUUUGGCCUAUAUAUCAGCUCUUACAACAGAUCGGAGCAAAUCCGGGUAAAAGGUAGAUCGAGAUUAUACAUCAAAUGCGGUAAAAGAAAUGCUACCUUUUUUAGCUAACACGAAAUGACACCUUGUUUCACAAGUUUAGUAAGUCAAAUUUGUAUGAAACUAUCACUUCUAAAAUAAGAUCCUAAUUAGACGUGGGUGGACACGAAUCAAAAUACUACCAUAAUAUUUGGUAUUUGUGAUUUGUUUCGUAUUUUAUAGAUAUCUAAUUUUCUGAUAUAUCCAGAAAAUUUACAGAUAUUUACGGGUAUUCAUUUUUUUCAAUACAAGUAAAUUUAUAAAAAAACUAUACAAUUUUGUUUUCAAAUUAUUUUUACAAAAUAUAAAAAAAAAAAAGUCAAGACUAGUGAAACUACAUGUUUCAUAAAUCUUAAAAAUUAAUUAUUUUUUAUAAAAUAUAAAACUAUACAAAAUUGUAAUUUUUAUAAAGAUUUUAUAUUCAUUUCUUAAUUUAAUACUUUAAAAUUAAUUUUAUAAAUAAAAGUAAUAAAUUCAUGUUAAAUAAUAAUUACUUAAUAUUAUACAUUUAAAAUUUUAUAUUUAAUUGUAGAUAUUUAUUUGUAAAAAAGUCGGAGCAAAGCGGAUAUCCGAAAAAAUUUAGUAUUUGUGUUUUUCUUCGUCUUUAGUGGAUUUUAAUUUUUGAUAUUUGUUUUAUUCCAAAACUUAGGAAUAUCCAGAUUUUUGUACCGAAUUGAAACGAAUAAUGAAUAGAAUCAAAAUAAACUGAUAAAAUGUCAGCCCUAUUCAUAAUGCCGAGACCUAAUCCUAAUGCGAAGACCCUUUGAUUUGUGACAAGACACUGACUCGAGACAAUAAUUGACAAAUGAAAUUAAUAAUUCAGAAAGAGAUCUUUUAGAUAUUGGUAGUAUCUAAGUCAGAGCUUUCUCAGUUAACAAUAAAAUAGAAAAAUAAAGAGAGAAUAGUAUAGAAAGAAGCGAGAGACCUUCAAGAGAAACUUUUAUUAUACUUAUCAUUGUUCAAAAAUUUUAUACAUGAAUUAUAAUAUUAAUAUUAUAUUGUGAGAUAUUUUUUGUUAAGAUAUUCUACUGAUGCACAUUAAUAAAGUCUACCGGCAUUUAAUCAAGAUGGAUAGAGGGAUCUGCGUGCAUUUUCCCACUAGACUACAUUAUUAUUUAAUUUAAACAUUCCUAUUUAUUACAAAACAUACAAUAUAUUAAUAAACUUUUAUAAAUAUUUUAUAAAUGAUUUAGAAAUGUUAUUUUAGUUUUUCUUUUUGCGAAAUUAAGAUAUUUAUGAAAAUAAUUAUCUUUUAAAAGUAAAUUUGAAAAGUAGUAUCAAAUUUAUGGUAUCAAAUUUGUAGUAAAAUUAAAAUUAUUCCUUAUUGUUUAGUACGAUUGUGCAUCAUAUAAAAUAAAAUAUUUUUUAUUUAUUUAUUAGUAAAAAGCUUAUUAACAGUAUUUUAAUAAAUAAUUUAUAUAAAAUACAUAAAUUACAGUCAGUUUUUUAUUAAAAUUAUUUUUAGAAUUUUGUGUUUAUCACUAAACAAACAAAUUUAAUUGUAAUUUUCUUAAAUAUAUUUAUUUUACAUUACUUUUCUAUCAAAACCGCAUUACUUUUUCUAUCAAAACCGCACUUGUCCCGCAAACCGCAUGAACCGCAGUUGUACUGUACCGCACUUUAAUUCCGCACCGCUUAUUUUAUCAAAUCUGCGGUUCCCAUUCGGUAGAUAUUGGUAGUAUCUAAGUCAGAGCUUUCUCAGUUAACAAUAAAAUAGAAAAAUCAAGAGAGAAUAGUAUAGAAAGAAGGCGAGAGAACUUCAAGAGAAACUUUUAUUGUACUUAUCAUUGUUUAAAAAUUUUAUACAUGAAUUAUAAUAUUAAUAUUUUAUUGUGAGAUAUUUUUUAUUAAGAUAUUCUACUGAUGCACAUUAAUAAAGUCUACCGCCAGCGCCAGUAGUAUAUAUAAGAGCCUAGCGCUGUUGGAGAAUAAUCAAUUUAAAUAUGAAAAAGGGUAAAGACAUUGAUAGAGAGGAGCGAGAGACAGCAGCAAAUGAGCCGCUUAGUCCGGUUUCGCAGUUGUUUGUUUUGCCAGGCCUUUACUGCGUCAUUGUUUUAACACUAGGGUUUAAAACUAGAUGCAACCCAUCUGCCAUUGUUGAAGGUAUCAAGAACACAUGGAUCAAGCUCCCUCGCUUCUCUAGCAAAGUGGUAAACAUACUUACAUGCUUUAAUUUUACAAACAAGAGAAUUUGUUAUCAUGACAUGUAGUUACUAGUUUUAGUUCAAAAAAAAGACAUGUAGUUACUAGUUUGUUAUCAUGACAUGUAGUUGCAUGCAUGUUGCUCGAAAAAUGUUAAAAAGUAGACUCAAUUUGGUUGUUAUGAAAUAAAAAUACUUGAAUAUAUAUGUAUAGAUAUGUGUGUGUGUGUGUGUAUAUAUAUAUAUUAUUUUCUUUGUUCAUAAAUUUAUAUUUUAGGAGAUGAAGAAAAAUGGACAAGCGGUUUGGGUCCCUGUUACUGUUCGAGUUGAAGAUCAUGUUAUUGUACCAGAUCUUGACCAUUUCAACAUUGAAAAUCCUGAUCAAUUUAUAGAAGACUAUACGUCAAACAUUGCUAGUACUCCAAUGGAUAUGUCCAGACCUUUAUGGGAAUUUCAUGUGCUGAAUGUAAAGACAUCAAGCGCAAAAUCUGUAGGCAUAGGAAAAUUACAUCAUUCACUAGGCGAUGGGAUGUCUCUUAUGUCUCUUCUACUCGCUAGUUCACGAAAAGUAUCAGACCCCAAGGCUCCUCCAACUACAACGGCUACAAAAAAACAUGCUGAUUCAAGUGCUAAGGGUUGGUGGUGUAUUAGGAGAUUUUGGUUGGUGAUAAAUAUCAUUUUCACAACUCUUAUUGAAUUGUUCAAGUUUUGGCUUACUCUAUGUUUUAUGCGUGAUACGAAAACUCCUCUCAUGAGUGAACCGGGAGAUACAGUUCGACCUAGAAAAUGUAUCAAUAGGAUAAUAAGCUUGGAUGAUGUCAAAAUGAUAAAGAACACAAUGGAAAUGGUAAGCAUAUUAAUAUUUUAAUAUUAUGUUUCUUUAUAUUGACCAGUUGUCUUGUUUUUUUUGUUGUAGAAAGUAAAUGAUGUUCUUCUUGGAAUGACACAGGCAGGUCUCUCAAGAUAUUUGAGCAAAAAAUCUGGUAUUUUAAAAUUCUUUCCCAGUCUACUAGCUAGUGUUCUUGACCUUAAUAUUGUUAUAAAUCUAGUUUUAGUAGCUUUUGUAUAUGAAAAUAUAAUGGCCUUGGAAAAACACUCGCAAGUCUAAUAUUUGUUCUUUCAAUUAAUUAUCAAUUGCUUACAAAAAAAAUAAUUAUCAAUUUAUUGCAAUUUUUAAUAUCUAUUUCACAACUAAGAAAUAUGUACCUUAAAAUUUAGGGGAAUUGCCACUAAUACCACUUUCCUAAUACCACUUUUCAACUUUACACUUUUCAAAUUUACCUUUAAAAUUUUAAUGGGUAAAGUACCAUUAUACCCUUAUUUAAUCAAACAUAAACCUAGUGUCUUUCUUCCACGAUUUCUUCAAUCUCAGAUCCACUAAUAACAAUCUAUCAAAUUCUUUUCGGUGAUCAAAUCCGGCGAGAUUCGAUGAUUCUGACGAGUUUUCCGGCGAGAUUUGACGACACCGGCGAGUUCUCCGGCGAGAUUUGAAGACGCCGACGAAUUCUCCGACGAGAUUUGAUGACGCUGACGUUCGGUGAGAUUUGACGAAGACUUCAACCUCAAACGAACAGAACAAAACGACUUCUUACCACUAACACGUAACAAAGGUGAGAGGAUAAUAUAUGGUGAUUUUCGUCACUUUCUGUAAUUUUUCUCAUAAUCGAUCAGUUUCUGGGAAAGAAGACGAAGCUUUUCUCAUGAGGUUUUAAAAAUUUCAAAUUUAUAAAACCUUAUAAAUAUUUAUCGAUGAGGAACAUAGUGUUAUGUUUUAUCGUUUUUUGAUAUAUCUUGUUGAUUCUUCAAACUUUAAGUAAUUUUGUGUUGAAUAUAUUUUUACUCCUACUAACUUAUAUUUCUUUCUUCUCCAGAUCUUUGUCCUGCGAUAAAAUUGGGAGUUGCUCCAAAUGAAAUCACCGGUGAACUUGGGAGUUGCUCCACGACAAUGUCAUUGUCCAAAUCGACAAGGCUAAUAGGCAGUCGUUCUAUCAAAACAACGAGACUGUACCACACGGAUUCACACAUACUUCAGAGGAUAUCGAGGAUGGUGAAGUUAUCGGUAUCAUCACUUUGGAAGAUGUGUUUGAAGAGCUUUUGCAGGAAGAGAUUGUGGAUGAAACUGAUGAAUAUGUUGACGUUCAUAAAAGGUUAUCCUCUUUAAUACAUUUAUGUAAAGAUGUUUCAGCUGACUGACAAAAAAAAGUCUCCCUAGUAUUUGCAGGAUUCGAGUAGCAGCAGCAGCAGCUGCCUCAUCAAUAGCUCAAGCUCCUUCAAGCAGGAGAUUGAUUGCACAAAAAGGAGCUGUGAGUUAAUUGCAAACAAAGAAUGAUUUGUUCUUAUGUUGGAGAAAGUUCAAGAUUUUCUUAGAGAUAAGUUGUGUAACUUUGAUUCGCAGGGAGGAGGACAAAAUAGGCAAGCGCAGACGGUAAAAGGUUCUAUUACAGAGCCUGUUGAGGGGAAGCAACCAAUGUAAUGGAUGUUGUGUCAUUGCUUGAAGGGCUAAAACUCUUGUUUGCGUUAUAAGAAAGGAACAUAGAAUAAAGUAAAGAUCCAAGUCUUGACCACGUUCUGUUCAAUUGGAAAAUUCAUCAUAUAAGAGAUGGUUUGUCCCCCAGUUUUUUGUCUACAAAUGCGUACAAUUUGUAAUAUACUCCAGUACUUAUAUUCUUUUAUACGUGUCAUGAAGUUAUCACAGUGUGCUCUUAUAAAAUUUAUAAAUGGUUCAUAAAUGGUUUUAUAAACCUUUAUAAAUAGUUAUAUAAAUAUUUAUAUUUUUUUUUAUAAACCUUUACAUUUUUUUUAUAAACCCUUUAUAAACUCUUCAAAACCCAUUAAAACCUUUUAUAACCCCUUACAAAUCUUAUAUAAGCUUUUAUAAACUUAUUGAAACCCUUUAUAAACUUUAUAAACCCUUAUAAAUUCUAUAUAAAAUCUUUAUAAACACAUGUAAGUGAUUUUGUAAAACCUUUAUAAAUAUUUAUAAACCAUUAUAAACAUUUUAAACAUUUUGUGAUGACUAACUUAUGGGAGCUACAAAGCAGUUUCAAUAUGUUCUUACUGUGAUUUUUUUUAUAAACCUUUACAUUUUUUUUAUAAACCCUUUAUAAACUCUUCAAAACCCAUUAAAACCUUUUAUAACCCCUUACAAAUCUUAUAUAAGCUUUUAUAAACUUAUUGAAACCCUUUAUAAACUUUAUAAACCCUUAUAAAUUCUAUAUAAAAUCUUUAUAAACACAUGUAAGUGAUUUUGUAAAACCUUUAUAAAUAUUUAUAAACCAUUAUAAACAUUUUAAACAUUUUGUGAUGACUAACUUAUGGGAGCUACAAAGCAGUUUCAAUAUGUUCUUACUGUGAGAUCAGAGGUUAGAUUUGUACCCGAACCUCUUCUUUGGAGAUGAAGUGUUUAAAUCCUUUUAGGAGUUAUGAUAGUUAGAGGUGAUCUUGCAGUAGAAUGUGGAUGGAGGAAAUUAGCUAAUAUACAAGAAGAGAUUAUAGCUGUUUGCAAAGUUACUAGUGUACGUGAUUUUGGCGACUAAGGUUAUUUGAAUUGCUUGUCAAUGGUCUUCCGGCUCGAGCUGAGAUCACAUAUGCUGCAAAUGGCAGAAGGUCAAAAAAAUUUCACUGAAAGUAACAUGAUCCUGCUAAACAUUUCUUUGUCUAACUAUGGAGUUUGAAUAUUUUUGCAGGGUGAGUUGUGUGAUGUUGAACAAAGGCAAGCAUAUAGUUGAAGUUGUUUCGAAGUUGUUUAUAAAUCAUUUGUAAGAGUUAUAAAUUAUUUAUAAUGGUUUAUAUAUCAUCUAUAAAAUGUAUACAUAUUAUUUAUAAUGGUUUAUAAAUUAUUUAUAAGGAUUUAUAUAUAAUUUAUAAAGAUUUACUUAUAAAUUUUAUAAGAAUUUAUAAAUGAUCUAUAAACAAACUCUUCUAACUGAUUUAUAAUCACUUCUAAAUUGAUUUCUAAACUCUUAUAAAUUGGGUUAUGAAGAUUAUUAAAUUCUUAUAAUCUUUUGAAUAACUCUUAUAAAUAGAUUUAUAAACCUUGUAAAUUAAUUAUAAACACUUAUAAAUAAAUGUAUUAACUCUUAUAAAUAGCUUAUAAAUAGUUUUAUAAACCCUUUUAAAUAGUUUUAUAAACCUUAUAAAACCCUUAUAAAUUAUUUUACAAACUCUUAUAAAUUGUUUUUAUAAGUCUUUAUAAAUUAUUAUAGACUCUUAUAAAUGAUUUAAGAGACUUUCUAAUUGAUUAUUAAACCUAUAAACCUUAUAAAUUUUAUAAGACUUUAUAAACCUUAAUAUUUUUUUGUUUAUGAACUGAUGAGCUCUUGAAAAUAGUUAUUAAUAGUUUAAACCGAUUUAAAAGCCUUUCUAUAUUAGUUAUAGACCUUUAUAAAUUCAUUUUUAUAGAUUUAUAAAUCUUUAUAAAUUUUAAAUACGCAUUUAUAUAUCCUAAACUCAAUUGAUUUUACAAGAGGUAACAAAAACCAGUUUUAAUAAGGUGUUAUAAAGCUACUAAGAUAUAAAUUUUGAAAUAAACCAUUUUGCUUUGAUUUUAUAAGAGCUUAUAAACUUUCUAAAUUAAAGCAAAACCAUAAAUCCAACUCAUAAUACUCAGAAUACUCAGAAUUCUACAACACAAAGUUUACCAAACACGCAUAAAACAUACUCAGAUAGUUGUUCAAACAUAAAUAUAAGAAAGUGAUAAAGUUUUUGUUGAUUCCCACAUUAGUACUCAUUGCAAUUCCGAGAAGAUAUCAACCGCCAACUUUUCUCGGAUGAUUGCAAUUUUUUCUUCACUCAGCUUUGUCAAAUCCCCUAUACGCAUUGCAUGGCACUCUAUCAACUUCAAUGCAUAAACUCCACUGUCUUCUAUUUUAAGAACCUGAAACAAAAAUUUGUCAGUAAUAUAUUAGUCUUAAGAACAUAGCCGAUAAAUUAUAAUAUAAGUUAUUUGAUCUAUGAUACAAAUCUAACAUGAACAUUUAUAAGCAGUUAUAAAGAUGUUACCUGUGGAAAACCUUCAGAUACAAUUUUUAUUGAGAACUUGCUUGUAUCCAUGCUGACAUCUUUGAAGAAAUUGCGAAUCAUGAAUGGUAGAGCCAUCGCAUAUGCAUUUACAUAAGGUACCAAACUCGCAUCUUUGAACUUCAAUGCUGCACAAUUGAAUGAUGUGGUACUUCUCUUCUCCAAGUUGACUACAACUCCAAGCCAAUACUUUUCUUCUACUGCAAUAGCCGAAUAGAGAAAAUUGAUAUUUUUCUCUAUGUUGUACUUGUCAAAACCUGUUCCAAAUUGGAAACUUUUCUUGUCAUCUAAAAACUCAUCAUAAAGCUCAUCUAUUUCUUCAAGAAACUUCACUCCAACAACGAAGGCAGUUUUGUUCAGAAACAAAUCUGGAUUGUUUAUCUGUUUCAGUUUCAGCAACUCCAAACCUGCUUCAAUAUGCUGGGACAAAAUAACAAAUAUUCAGAAAAGCGAUCAUAUAGUUUUAUAAAGAAGAUUAAUAUAAAUUUAUAAGGGAUUAUAAAGAAUUUUUGUUCAAAUAUAGCCUAACCGUUUUUGAAAGCUUUUUUUCCCGGUGUUUCAAUAUCUGAGAACUACUUUGCGGUUACUAUCUCUUGAUUGAUUCUCAGUUUCCUACAUUGUACACUCAUACUUAUUAUGUAGGUAUCCAGUUUCACCUCAUGAAAUAUAUAGUUUUUUAUAAAAUAAAAACUUACUUUUUUUGUUUGACAUUUUCCAUUCUCUCAUCUUUUCUUUUCUUGUUUUAUCAAUUGGCUCAAAAGGAUGGAGAAUCGGAUGUUUCUUCCUUGCUCCUGCAAACGGUGGCUGUGUAUGAAUGGAUGGUAUUUGACCUCUUUCACUUCUUCUUAGUGGAACAUUAUCUGUAUCAGUUUUAAUCUUCUUUUGAAGUGGAGGCUCAAUAUCUUCGUUUACCUACAGACAAAAAAAAAUUAGUUUUUGCAAAUGGUUAUUAUGUCUAUAAAAUAAAUCAAUAUUCAUAAAGUUUGGAAAACAAACCUGGCUGUCUUGUUGUACCAAUCUCUUUUUAAUUUUCAUUAGAGGUUGAAAAUCAGAAAUCUCACAAACAUCUCUCAUAAGAACCUGAUUCAUGCAAAUUGUUUAAGAGGCCUUUAUCGAUCAUGAAAUAUUUUAUAAAGCUUUAUAAAAUACCUCAUAUGUACCCUUUCCACUACGACUUUCUUGGGAAAGGAGAUCAAACUUAGGCGACGUAAAUGUUGGAGUAGGCGAUGUAACCUGCAAACAAAAUAUUUGAAAAUUAGAUGUUUAUGAUAUAUACAUUAAACUUUACAAGGCCUUAUAAAACUAUACUAAUUUUGUACCCUUGUAUCAAAGUUUGGAGUAUUGAAUGUUGGAGUAGACGACGUAACCUACAAAAGAGAACUCUUUUUUUUCCUAAUAUUUCUGCUACCUUCUCGACAUAAUCAAUCUUUGAGUGAUGGAUUAUCGCUUUGGAAUUAUCUGGUGGUUCUCCAGCUUCCCUCAUAGGCAAUCUCAAUGUUGUGCAAAACUCGUUUCUAUCCAACUGCAAUACAAGACAACACUUCUUGAGUUCACACAUCUUAUAAUUACUUGAAACCCAAAUUUAUAAGGGCUUAUAAUGUUUCAAAACAAAACUCAAUGUUCACUAUCGAUACUCUUUCUCUUAGAUCUAACUAGGGACAUAAUCCUCAGCCAAUCUUAUUCUAUUUUCUUAUAACAGAAAUAAAAAAUUCAACAAAUGACUUGAAACAAACAAAAAGAUACACAAAUUUAGGAAAUUACUUGUAGAGAAUCAUGAAGAGGAGAUUCGUGAAUAAGAGAAUCGCUAAGAGGAGAAUCGUGAAGAGAAGACGACAUUUUUGAGAUGAGAUUUUUGAAUCGGGAUUGUUAUUGUCGCGAUUCGUCGUCACCAGUUGCUUUUUCCAGAGAGAUGUUGUGACUCGUGAAGGAGAAUACCUUUUCUCUUCUUCGUCGUGAGUUUCGCCGUCGUGACUAUCGUCGUCCGCCGUGAGUAUCGCCGUCCGUCGUGGAGAUUCGUCGGGGGGGAACCAAAACCUUAAAACGAACUUUCUCUGAUUUAGUUAGGGGGUACUUAGGUCAUUUACCCAUUAAUGAAUAAGGCAUUUAUGAAAAAGUCCCUUUAGUUGUGGUAUAGUUGAAAAGUGGUAUCCAAUAAAGUGUAAAAGUAAAAUUUCCCCUAAAAUUUAUUAUUUCUUUUGAAGUUUAUCAAUUUUGUUUAUCAAAUAUUUUAAAAACGCGUAGUAUAUAUUUUUAACUAUGCCUUAAAAUAUGCAUAUAUAUAUAGAUAUGUAUGAGUGAUCAUUUAUUAUUAUUAGACAAUACAUAUGAUAUGAAAAUAUAUUGCUACUAAACAUUAUAGAAAUGUUAUUACAUUUUGUAGUUGUUUGUACCGAUAUUCAUUAUAAUGCUCUGUUUAAUACUCCACAUCGUAGGAGUGUGCUAUUAUCGUAAUAUAUCAUCAUUCCUAGUUUCAAUUUUGUACGUUCUGAAAGUAGAUGAUGAUAUGGCGACCGGGAAGAAAAAAGUCCGUCUUCGUGGUACAGUAGCUGUAAAUCUAAGACCAGAUACAAAGAUUGAGGUAAUAUAAAUGUAACCAUCAUUUUCCCAGAUAUCUGCUAAAACAAUAUUUUUAAAAAUACACUAUAAUGCAAGAGGUUCAUAAAUACGAAAAUGUAGGAUCUCACUAAUAUGAUGGAAAAGGGUUCAAAGUGUAGAUGGGGAAACUUCGUAGGUAUUGUCAUAUUUCCUUUGUGGGUAAGAUGUGAGGAUGAUCCACUAGAAUACGUUAGAAAAGCAAAAUCUACGAUGGAUAUGAAAAGAAUCUCCAUGGAGGCACUUAUACUAUAUGGACUUGUUAAAUGUAUCAUGAAGAUAUUCGGGGAUAAGGUAAAAUAUGAAUAUCAACUAAUUAAUCAAUAUAUAUACUUACUUAUGUAUAUGUAAUUUUAAUAACAGGCAGCAGAAAAUAUUGUCAAAAGGGUAUUUGGUCACACAACAUUAACAUUUUCAAGUGUGAUGGGGCCAAAGGAAGAAGUAAGUCUUUUUGACCAUCCGAUGUCUUACGUGACAGCAACCGCAUCAGGUGGACCGCAGGUAAGCCAAUCAUGUUAUUCUUGCACAUAUUGAUUAAUUAUAACUUCGAUGAAAUUAAUUAAGAGGUGGUUAUGUUUGUUGUUUAACUAGGCUUUGAUUAUCCAUUUUGUAAGCUACGUAGACAAGAUUAUCAUCAAUCUGGCUGUCGACACAACAGUAAUUCCAGACCCUCAUCAACUAUGUGAUGAUUUGGUAGAAUCGCUCGGUAUCAUCAAACUUGCUGCCUUGGAGAAAGGAGUUCACAACAUGGAGGUUUGAGACAUUAUCACUACUUGAUAACUAUGAAGUUUUAUUUUUAAAAGAUAACAGGUGUUGAAAUCUAAUUACGUACCAUGUAAGCCUGGUUUGAUCUCAAUAAAAAGUUCUCUCGGCCGAAGCAUUUCCUACAUUAUAAUAUGUUCAAUCGAUGAUAUGUGUUUGAUUUUUGUACCGUUUUCCUUGUUUAAAGUUCGAACUUCAAAUGAUAUCAAUCUUGAGCUUCUUUAUUGCUACGCAUGUUCAAACUAUGGAUCUUGACUAGCCUCGCGAAAAUGCCAAUUUUAAUAGUAUUUUACAUGUCAGACCAUUUACACUUUUAUAGGUGAGACAUAUUUGUAGAUAUAUUUUUUUUUUUGAAAAGGGCUUUAUUUGUAGAUAUUCUAUAUCUUAUGCUUAGUUAAUAGAUAAAAGUUUACAAUCUAAUAUCAUCUCUAAUCAACUUCAAAGUUUACAAUCUAAGAUCGAUCUCCAAGAUCUUAUGUCAGACCACUUCAAUCUAAGAUCUUAAAUUAAAUUUUACAAUUUUAGAUCAUCUCUAGUUCCCUUUUAUUUUCAUUUCUAUACUUUCCUAAAUAUAUAUUUUAUUAUAUAGUUGAAUUUAAUAUAAUGUAUUUUUUGUAUAGAGUUUAUCUAUUUUUAGGAGAAAAUAUAGAAUACUACUAUUUCCAUCUCUAAAUAUAAAAAGAAAAAAUAUUAAAUUUGAAUUGUCGCGGUGGUGAGUAGUAUAACACGGUCCCAUGGUAACACUAAUAUAAAUUUCAAAGUACAAAUCACAAUCAUCCUAGAAAUCAGUUUGAGCAAUAUUAUAGAUCCUAUUUAAUACUCCCAGCUUCUUCCACAACGAACCUGAUAGCUAUUUAAGAACAGUUAUUGUAAACACAUGUGAAAUGUACAUCAAAAGAUAAGGGACCCUGUUUGGUAUUUUUGAUCAGUUCACCAUAACUUUCCAACUAUGUUAGCAGCUUGGUAGUUCAAUCUUUCAACUGUCCCAGACCACGUGGGAUCGCAAAUUAUACAUGAUUUCGUAAUGACUUAGUACAACUGUGAAGGCAUGUUUGGACAUUCUAUACUAGAUUAGGAAAAAUAUUUCUUGUUAAACCAAUCAAUAUACAUUUGUGAAGAAAAGUAAGGAUUAUAAAUAAUGCUUCUAGUACAUUAAACAGUGUGAUUCCCCAUGUAUAACCCGCCACCCUAUACUCAAUGGGGUCAUCUGACCCAUAUCAAAUCUACAAAAUCUUAAAUUUAGGCUUAAUAUCAUACUAAUUAUUGUGGUCUAUUGGUUAAACUCUUCUUUUAUGACCCCCGUGUCUUGAGUUCAACACUCUCAUAUACUCCCUAUGUUUUUUAAUAUAAGUUGUUUUAAAGAAUUUUUAUGUUCCAAAUUAUAUAACAUUUUUGCUUUUUUAUGUAAAAUUUAUUAACACUUAAUGUUAUAUGACCAAUAAUAAUAUACCUUCUAUUUUAUUAUUGGUUGAUUUGUGGUUAAAUAAAUAAUUAAUGAUGUUUUUUUAAAAAAAUAUAAAAAACUAAUGAUUUUCUUAAUCUAUGUACACAAUUCUAAAACGGUUUAUAUUAAAAAAUGGAGAAAGUAUCAUUUUAUCUAUAUAUUAAAUGAAUAUUGACCCAUGUGGAACAUAAACCUAGCUCCCCCAAUGUGUAUAACUCAUAUUGAAUUAAAUGAACUUUCAACCUAAAACCAAUUGGUGAUAAACGGAUUGGUAUAUCUAUUUUAUACAUUACUUAGGAUGCAUUCCAACUAUACUAAUGUAAGAGACUUAGCCUCUAAUACAAUCCUCGAGAUGAUAGUUAUUUAAACGUCAAUCUCAGAAUGUUUGAAAAAUGAUCAAUGUGCCAAUUUUGGCUCAAAUAGAUUUGGAUCGGAUUGGACUGUAUGGAUCGAGCUCAUACAAAUACACUACUAGAUUUAAGUUUGAACUAGAUUCUGAUUCAUUAAGACGCAUAUUAUGUUUUUUUUUUAUAAAACCGGCGAAUUAAAUUAUUGUGAUGUUAAACAGUUAUAUUUAGAGGGUGAAUGGUUGAGUUUUAUCUCUUUAUCUUAGUUUUAUUUAUUUUUAAAUCAGUAAAAUUUAUUGUUAAUAGUUAAAUCCUAUAUCAAAUUUUUAUUAAUUAUUACCAAUCAUGCUUUACAUUUAUAUUUAAAUCUACAACAAAAAAAAAGUAAAAACAAUUAUGUAUUUUAGACAAAAAAAGCUUACAUCUUAUUUUAUAGGUUCCAGAAUCUGUAAAAUAAAAAUUACUAUUUAUUAUAUCAAAUAAAUUAGAUAAUCAUAAUAAAAACAUAUAUAAAUAUUUUUAUUUAAUUUUGAGUGCUUUUAAAUUAUCGAAAUAUUUUAAAUAACAUAAAUAUUAUUUACAUAUCACAUUUUACAUAACAGUAAACUUUGAUUAUUUCAUAUAAAAAAUAGUUAAUAUAAAUUAUUUUAAUUGAUAAAAAAAAUAUUUAAUAUAUAGAUCACAUAUUUUAUUUUAAAAUAUCUACAUCUUAUAUAUUUUACAGUGAUAGCAAAUUUACCUAAUACAAAAAUCUCUGCAAAAAAAAUUUGCAUUAACAAUUUUACAUCUACAACCAACUUAUCAAUAUCUAAACUCUUACAAUUCAUAAAUGUCGUUUGUCGUUCAGAUGCAUAAUUACCAGUUUGGUUUUCAGAGUAAUAGUUAAGUUUGUUCAUAUUAAUGGCAAAAAAAAAAUUACAGCUAAAUUUUACAGACACGGUCAAAACCAAUCAUCACAUUAAAUCAUUAAUGUUUUGUUUUGGACUUGUAUUACUAAUGUAGUGAUCAGUCAUAUCCGGUUUUAUUAUUACUUAUGUAUAAACGUGACAAAUUCCAUGGAAAAUAACUUGUGUGUAUAAUAUCAUGUGAAGAUAACUUUGUGUAUAAUAAUCAGUUCGAAUAUUCUAAUUUUAAUGUGAAGAUUGUAAAUAUAUUUAUCGUUAAGUUUUUGAAGAUAUUUCUCUCUGUAAAAUAGUAAAUAGUAGGGCUGGGCAAAUAAACCGAAUCCAAAAACCCGAUCUAAAUCCGAUCCGAUAAAAAUGAAUCCGAACCGAUCCGAACCCGACGUAAAUAUCGAAUAAAUCUUGUUUUGUGGUAUUUCGGGUUAUGGGUAUUAUCCGAACCGAACCCGAAUCUAAAUAGAGUUUAGACCAAAAAAAAUAGUAAAUAGAGUUGUUGUUUGUUACCCACCAAUAAAUGUUUUUAAAAAUAUAAGGAAGUUCAGAUUUUUAGUUAUUAUAAUUUAACACAUUCGACUGAAUAUUCCUUUCGUGUUCAAAUUUAAUUAAUUUUAUAUUUAUUGUAAUUCAAUUAUGUAGUUUUAAGAUUAGAUUGUUUAGAUUCGGUAAUGAUUGUAGGAUUUAGAAUUUAAAAACUUAAUAAUAUACUCAAAACAAAAUCUGCGAUUAAUAUUCUAAAUUAAUGGAUUUGGGAGGAUAUUAUUUAAUUAUAAUGUAAAUAAAGUAAAACAAAAAUUAAAAAAGAGGUACAGUUUCUUUUAAUUAUAUUUCGUAUAAUUAAGUGGAAUUGGCAGACUACAUUUCGAACAUAACAUCAUAGCUAUUUUUAUAUAUAGUUUAGAUUUUUUUUAAAUGAACAUAUGUUAAUAAAAAUACACAACUUACAUUUUUAAAAUCUAACAUUGUAAAACGAAAUGUCUAUAUUGAUUAUGUUUGGUAUAAGUAUAAUGGACGAAAAAAAAGAAGUAUAAUGGACGACCAAGUAUAUAUCAAAUCUAGUAAUUUAUAUAAUUGAGUGUUAAGGAAAAUUUUGGUAUAUGAAAAAUAAAGGACAAUGUCAGUAUACUAAAUUUUAAAAAAUAAUGUAAAAAAUAAAGUUUUAGAUUCAUGGGUGUAUUUUGUCACUUGGUUAAAAUUUGUUCAUAUCAUUCGAGACAGUAUAUAAAUUCCGUAAAGAACAUGCCUUUUUAUAUAUCACUAGAGAUUUUUUCCGCGCUUCGCGCGGAUUGUGUCUUAUAAAUUUAUUUUAUUUAUAAUAUUAUUUGUCGGUUUGUUUCUUUUACAUUAAUUUUUUGUUUUUCCAAUGUUAGUUUUUCUUAAUUUAAAUUUAUAUGUUUAUAGUUUUUCUUUUUUCUGGUUGUAGAUGGAGAAUUAUAUUUUUUAUUGAUGGUUUUUGUAUGUGACAUAAACUUUUUGAAAUUUUAAAAUAAUGUUAUAUAUAGUACAAUUAACACAUUAAAGAAGAGAAACAUAUUUAAGCACAUUUUAUACAGGUUUUAUAUACAUAAUUUUAAACAUUAUAUAUGUAUAUAUUAUAAGUUUGAAACAUGUAAAUGCUUUCUAAAGUUAAAUACUUGUUCUGAGUUUACAUAACUUAUCGAAAGUUUUAUCUUUUUUAAAUUUAAAUCACAGAAAAAAAAAUUGAGAACUCUAUUCAUAUAAGAUUCACAUCUAUGCAUUUUGACAAAGAAGAAUUUUAGCCAUCUUUAGUUUCGGAAUGAAUCAACUUCAGUCAUAUACACUAUAUUUUCUCUAUGAUUCAAAUCUUACAAUUUUAAUAUAUGUGCAGAUUUCCAUGUGAAAAAACACGCACGCCAUCUAUCGUUCAACCUAUUACUUUUUCCAAAGUAAACACUAUAAUCCUCGUUUGGUUAGCUCCACAAACUAAUCUCUUUGGAUCAGUGUAACCUUUCAGAAAAUGAUAAUCUUAACAUCUUACAAAAAAAACAACAAAUAUUGACUUAUUUAUAUGAAUAUAUAUUAUUUUAAAUCAUUAUAGUGGACGAAGAAAGCACCAUAAUUUGUACAACAAAUUUUCUUAGAUUCACUUCAUCAUAUUCACCAUUUUACCAUUUUAAUUACAUAAUUUUAUAUGAGCUUCUUCACCUUUCCCGGUUAUUUUCUCUUUAUUUAUAACUACAAUAUAAAGUUAUAAACUAUAUAUAUAUUAUAAAUUAAUAAUUUAUUUACUCUUAAAGUAACGAUUAAAAAUAGAACAUAAUUCAAUAUAGAUAUAUGAUUCUAUUAAUAAAUUAGCAGUUACAAAUUUGAAAUUUUUAGAAAUAUCAAAAGUUUUAUAUUAGUUAAUUAUCUUCUAAAUGACAUUUAUUUUUAAUUCUUUUUGGAUGAGAAUAUUUUGGCUGAGGUGGAUAGUUUCAAAAGUCUUGAAUUUAGUCCCUUUUAUAUAGUAGGAUGUAUUUUAUAAUUGAUUAGUUCCCUUCCCAUACAGUACAUGAAUUUAUUGAGCCAACAUGUUUAGUCGAAUGUAUGUAGGUGCUAUUAAGUCAAAUUAUAAUAGGUUUGUUAUUAUUAUUAUUAUUUAGAUUAAUAAGUUUGUUAUUAUUAUUGUUAUUAUUAUUGUUAGAUUAAUAACUUGUCAUAUAUAAUUUUAAUAGUCUUUUCUGUUAAGCUAAAUGGAUAUCCCCUCCCCCCUCUCCCCUCGAAACGAUGGUUAUUAAUUUGAACAUCAAUUUUGAAAUGUUCGGAAAAUGGUCGAGUACCAAUUUUGGAUCGGGUUGAUGUGGAUUGGAUAAGAUUACUUGUAUCAAAUUCUAAAACUAUGUUAAAUUAGAUAAACUUUUAACUUAUAAUUAAUUGGUGAUAAAUAGAUUAUUUUAUCUAUAUUAUAUUUGAGAUCUUUUUGAACUUCCGAUGUAGAGAUUUUGUCUCUAAUAUUUUUGCAUUUGAAAAUGAUAAAAUUUUUACCAUUUUUAUAUUUUUUUUUAACAUGUUCAUUUCAAAAACAAAUUGCUUAACAUGUAUGGUCUGAAAAAUAUAAUGUAUACAAUAUAUUAAUAAUCAUGAGUUAACAGAAAACAGAGGAAGUAUUUAUACCCCCUACUUUUAGCGGGAUUCAAGUCCAACUAAUCAUACACACAGUAAAUACGAAAUUAAAUGAUUAAAUAAAAUACAUUUAAAUAAUAACCUAACUCCCCAACACUAUUUAAUCAACAUGGAUAAUACGGGAGACAAAACCCUUGUACUAAUAUAUAAGAGCCAAGUAUGGCUGAAAGCAAGAUUGGGGUAUAGUCAAAAUAAGAGCGAGAAGACAUGGCGAGAGAGAAGCAAGCAGAGAUAACAAUAAUGGAGCCGCUUAGCCCAGUGUCUCGGCUGUUUGUUUCGCCCGGUUUCUAUGGCGUCAUUGUCUUUACUUUAGGGUUUAAAACUAGAUGCAACUCAUCUGCCAUUGUUGAAGGUAUCAAGAACACAUGGAUCAAGCUUCCCCGCUUCUCUAGCAAAGUGGUAAACAUAUAUUAUUAUUAACAUGCUUUAAUGGAAACAUUGUUCUUAGUUAGUCACCAAAUGCAAACGAUGUGGUUAUAUAUCUAACCAUUUCCAUGUGCUCUACAAAUAUUUUACGGUUUUUUUUUGCUAAGAAGGUUAAUAUUCAUAUAAUAAAAAGUUAAGACUUUACAAAUGCACAUAUUUUACUUUGCAGGGAGAUUUCAUUGAUCUAUAUAUAUAUAAAUUCUUUGGGUUCACUGAUCCUCAUAAUGUCAUUCGCUCUCUUUUAUCUAUUUAUUUAUUUAAUAAACUAUGCGUAAUCAUCUAUUUGAUCAUAAAUAAAUGUUUCAGGUGAUGGACGAUAAGAAAAAUGGAGAAGCGGUUUGGGUUCCUGUUAAUGUUCGAGUAGAAGAUCAUGUUUUUGUUCCGGACAUUGAUCAUUCUGACAUUACAAACCCUGAUCAAUUUAUAGAAGACUAUACGUCAAACAUAGCUAACACUCUAAUGGACAUGUCCAGACCUUUAUGGGAAUUUCAUGUACUGAAUAUAAAGACAUCAAACGCAGAAUCUUUAGGUAUAGGGAAGUUCCAUCAUUCACUCGGCGAUGGGAUGUCUCUUAUGUCUCUUCUAUAUGCUAGUUCAAGAAAAAUAUCAGACCCCAACGCUCUACCUACUACUGCGACUACAAGAAAACAAGUUGGUUCCAAUGAUAAUUGGUGGCUGGUUGCCAGAUUUUUGCUUAUGAUUAGAGUCAUUUUUACAACUUUUAUUGAACUGUUCAAGUCCCUCCUUACACUAUGUUUUAUGCGGGAUACUAAAACUCCUCUCAUGGGUAAACCUGGAGAUCGAAAUGGACCUAGAAAGAUUAUCCAUCGGAUAGUAAGCUUUGAUGAUGUCAAGUUCGUGAAGAACACAAUGAAAAUGGUAGAUAUAUUAGUACUUUUUAUCAGUUCUACUUGUCUUGAUCAUUAGUCGUUUUCUAAACAAAUUAUGCCUCAUUGUAGAAAGUCAAUGAUGUUCUUCUUGGAAUAACACAGGCAGGUCUCUCAAGAUAUUUAAGAAAAAAAUAUGGUAAUUUCAGACUCAUUCUUUCAUUAUAGUGCUAUUGGCCUUAUAUAAUCAACAUGUUACAAUGUUACCCAAGUAUCUGUAUGUUAAACAGAUGUAAAGCCUGAGAAAUAAAAGAGUGAAUAUAUGAUCCAAUGUAUAUUGAUACUACACUAUUAGUUUUUUUUGUAAUAUAUCAUUAACAAUAAUCUUUAAUAUUUUAAAAACAAGGUGACGAUCCAGUGACUGAGAAGAAAAAAUCCUUAGAGGAAACACGUCUCCGGGGUACAAUAGCUGUAAAUCUAAGACCAGAAACAAAGAUCAAGGUAAAAUAAGUAUUACAACGAUCUUAUAGUUGCAUCUUACAAAACGAUAUGUUUUACGAUAAUUAGAGUGCAAUAACUUGAUAAAAUUAAAUAUGAAACUGUAGGAUCUUGCUGAUAUGAUGACAAAAGGUUCAAAAUGUAGAUGGGGUAAUUUCAUAGGUGUUGUUAUAUUUCCUUUAUGGAUAAGAUCUGAGGAUGAUCCAUUGGAAUACGUCCGGAGAGCCAAAGCUACUAUGGAUAAGAAAAAAAUCUCCAUGGAAGCACUUGUGUUAUAUGGAUUCAUCAAAUUUACAAUGAAAAUAUUUGGCGUAAAGGUAAAAUAUCAAGCUAUUUCAUCCAUAUAUGUAUACUUUAUGUAAGUAAAAAGAAUGUACAACUUUUAAUGACAGGCCGUAGAAGCUAUCACUAAGAGGGUAUUUAGCCAUACAACGCUGACAUUUUCUAAUGUGUUGGGUCCAAACGAAGAUAUAAGUUUCUUUGAACAUCCCAUGUGUUACGUCGGAGCAAGCGCAUUGAUUGGACCACAAGUAAGUAUAAGUCUAUAAUCAUGUCAUUCUAGUACUUGCAUAUUAAAUCUGUUUUUUUUCCUUUCUGAAAUCAUAUACAAGUACUUGCUGACAUUUAAUAAAUGUGUUUACGUUUGUGGUUGGACUAGGCUCUUAUCAUCCAUUAUGUAAGCUACGCAGACAAGAUUAUCAUCAAUCUAGCUGUCGAUACAACAGUGAUUCCAGACCCUCAUGUACUAUGUGAUAAUUUGGUAGAGUCGCUUGAAAUCAUCAAACUUUCUCUCUUGGAGAAAGGACUUCAUAAAAUGGAGGUUUGAGACGUUCACGCGAUAUAAAAAUGGAAGUCUACGUUAAAAAGAUAACAUGUGGUGAAAUGUACUAUGUUAGCUUUUGUAUUUGUUAUGAUGUUGUGUUUAUUAUAUUAUAUAUAUACAUAUUCUACUUUGGUAGUAUAAACUUUUUAUUUGUAUACGAAAAAAGCAGACAUGUAGCAUUUACACAAGACGACCAAACGUAGACCACAAGCACCACUAACAUAUAUAUUUACAUAAUCAAUACCUAUUUUCAUCAGCAAACAGAAUUCGAUUCCCUUUUGCCUUGGAAUUAAAGGAACUGUUCAAGGGCUUGUGUACCAUUGCUGUUCAAGAGCUUCAUCAUGAAGUUAAACCUGGUGUCUGGAGAUGUCUUUGGUUGUGGCCAAUUUGCUCCUUCAGGGAUCUUGAUGCAUCUGUAACUUUGAUCUUUAUAAAGUUUCGUGGCCUCCGUAUAGCUCGACAUCCCCAGUUCGUGGCUUAACCCUCUGCUUUCCAGAUCAGUACUCUCGUAUCUGGAGAUGCCUUUGGUUGUGGCCAAUUUACUAACUGUCACAGCGACUAAACAUAUCCCUCUGGUAGGCACCCUGGUGGAACGGAGAAACCCAUUAUCAUCGCCAUCAACCUAUCAACUCUGAGGACAAGAUCAAGAGGGAACGAAUGUCCAGGGAAGAAGGAGGUGCAAUGUGUUUCUGCCACUUCCCACCAGUCCUCCACUCUAUCUUCCCGGACAACAAUUUCAGGUGAAACCACUGGGAAAAGAUCAAGUACAAACCUAAAAGAAAAGAACAACUUUAUCGUCUACUGACGAAUCAAAUCAUGUCGUAUGUUAAAGGAUGGGAGCUUUCAUGGAUCAUCAAUUACGACUAGAAGCGAUCUCUUCGAAUGAGACUCCCCCUUCCAUCUAUCAGUCAAAUUCUGUCUGUCCUCAGAACUUACAUGACUCUACUCUCCAGACAUAAAAAACAGUUUUGUUUGCUAUCCUGAUGUAUCUUGGGUAGAUAAUUAGCACUCUGCAGGCAUAGUCUGGGGCUUUAAAAGACUCCUGUAAUAAAAUCCUGCUUCAGGGAUCAGCUUCAACUGAUGCUACAGAUACAGUUUCAAUUUUGUUGGUGUAAGGUAAUGUUUUGUGGAAACUGCUCAGCUCUUUUUGUGGAGACUGUUCAGAAGCUGAUAGACUUGCAACUCAAGCUAGAACAGGAAAAUAACCAUAUGUUGUAAAGUGGAUCACAUAAAUAUUUGUCUGAGUCUGUUUGUACAACACUUAUAUAAGUUUCUCUAUAAAUAAUAAUAAUAUUUAAGGUUUAACUAUAAUUAGAAUUGUAACUCGAUCAAAAUCAAAGCCCGUGAAAUCUAACUCGUUGUUCUCUAGAACUCAGUCUAGUAGCAGCUAACGGAGAGUCAUAGAUCAUAAUGCCUUAGGUCAAACCUGAUUUGCUAGACGGAGUUUGAGAAACAGAAACCGUCGGCGAGAGAAGCCAUGACGGUUUUGCUUGAUCAAAGCUGAUGGGGAUAGCUCCGUCGUCCCCAUUCCCCAACGGCGUGCUCUGCAUUUCUCACCGCACUAUUACGGAGAUGGCAACAACAAAACCGGACGGUUCAACCGGUUCAAUUCGUUAGUAAGAAUCUUGAAAAAAUUACAAUAUGACAUACUUUUUCGUUCUCUACUAGGUGAUUUUCCAGUGAUUAUGCAUGGAUAUAAAUAUUUUUAAAGUAAAUAUAUUAUAAUAAUUGAUUGUUAAUUACUUUUAAUUUUAAAUUAAUUUAUAAUUGAGUAUUUGCAUGCUAUAUACAAGAAAAACUAUUUAAUUAGCUAACCGGUAUAUGCGACUGUUUAGUACUGUUAUUUUUUCGUUAUUUCCAAUUGUAUCCCUCUAUUAUAGCCACUGCACAAUAUUAUUUCUCGCAUUUAGGACAACACACAAUCAUCUCUUUCCUCUUUGAUUCAUCACCGUAAAUAAACAAAGACAACACACAGAAAAAAUAAAUCAUUGAUAACUUAAGACACGAGUUGGUGUACAUUUUCUAAUCGUGAGAUGAUCAAUGGCAGAGAGAUGCUUAUUAAUUCCAGUAAAGUUGCAGCACACCAAGAAUCAUUUGACAGAGAAGCCAUGUCUUGUGAUCCUAGCUUGAGUGGCUUAGGUUCAGAUAGCUUACAAGUUAAGUAAAUAAAUCGCCUAAAAUAGAAAUAAGAAUCCUCACUUCUUUUUUUUAACGCUGAUAAGAAUCUUCACGUUAUCUUCUAAUCCUGUAUAUUAAAAGAUAAACAUUAUAACAUUUAAGGUAGUCAUGUGUCAUCACCACAAUGAGUCUUAAAAUCUUUAGAAAAAUAUAUUGGUUCAUCUAAAUAUAUAAUAAGUUUUUUAUUAAACUAACCAUAAAUUCAUUAUUAAUGUCUUUCACUUUUUCUUUAAAUAAAAACUACGGAAUUACCAAAUGUAGCUAAAGUAUAUAUAUGAAAAUUAAUGAUUUUGAAUAAUAAAUAUUUGAUAAAAGUUAGUGUAUUCUCUAUCAUAUUUGUUUAAUUUUAAAUUAAUAAAAUAAAUUAAACAACUACAUUAACCAUAUAAUAAAAUUUAUAUUUUUCUUUAUAUGUUAUAUUUGAUUUUUUAAACGAUUAUAAAUUACUACUCUCUUUUAUCUAUUUAUUUAUUUAAUAAACUAUGCGUAAUCAUCUAUUUGAUCAUAAAUAAAUGUUUCAGGUGAUGGACGAUAAGAAAAAUGGAGAAGCGGUUUGGGUUCCUGUUAAUGUUCGAGUAGAAGAUCAUGUUUUUGUUCCGGACAUUGAUCAUUCUGACAUUACAAACCCUGAUCAAUUUAUAGAAGACUAUACGUCAAACAUAGCUAACACUCUAAUGGACAUGUCCAGACCUUUAUGGGAAUUUCAUGUACUGAAUAUAAAGACAUCAAACGCAGAAUCUUUAGGUAUAGGGAAGUUCCAUCAUUCACUUGGCGAUGGGAUGUCUCUUAUGUCUCUUCUAUAUGCUAGUUCAAGAAAAAUAUCAGACCCCAACGCUCUACCUACUACUGCGACUACAAGAAAACAAGUUGGUUCCAAUGAUAAUUGGUGGCUGGUUGCCAGAUUUUGGCUUAUGAUUAGAGUCAUUUUUACAACUUUUAUUGAACUGUUCAAGUCCCUCCUUACACUAUGUUUUAUGCGGGAUACUAAAACUCCUCUCAUGGGUAAACCUGGAGAUCGAAAUGGACCUAGAAAGAUUAUCCAUCGGAUAGUAAGCUUUGAUGAUGUCAAGUUCGUGAAGAACACAAUGAAAAUGGUAGAUAUAUUAGUACUUUUUAUCAGUUCUACUUGUCUUGAUCAUUAGUCGUUUUCUAAACAAGUUAUGUCUCAUUGUAGAAAGUCAAUGAUGUUCUUCUUGGAAUAACACAGGCAGGUCUCUCAAGAUAUUUAAGAAAAAAAUAUGGUAAUUUCAGACUCAUUCUUUCAUUAUAGUGCUAUUGGCCUUAUAUAAUCAACAUGUUACAAUGUUACCCAAGUAUCUGUAUGUUAAACAGAUGUAAAGCCUGAGAAAUAAAAGAGUGAAUAUAUGAUCCAAUGUAUAUUGAUACUACACUAUUAGUUUUUUUUGUAAUAUAUCAUUAACAAUAAUCUUUAAUAUUUUAAAAACAAGGUGACGAUCCAGUGACUGAGAAGAAAAAAUCCUUAGAGGAAACACGUCUCCGGGGUACAAUAGCUGUAAAUCUAAGACCAGAAACAAAGAUCAAGGUAAAAUAAGUAUUACAACGAUCUUAUAGUUGCAUCUUACAAAACGAUAUGUUUUACGAUAAUUAGAGUGCAAUAACUUGAUAAAAUUAAAUAUGAAACUGUAGGAUCUUGCUGAUAUGAUGACAAAAGGUUCAAAAUGUAGAUGGGGUAAUUUCAUAGGUGUUGUUAUAUUUCCUUUAUGGAUAAGAUCUGAGGAUGAUCCAUUGGAAUACGUCCGGAGAGCCAAAGCUACUAUGGAUAAGAAAAAAAUCUCCAUGGAAGCACUUGUGUUAUAUGGAUUCAUCAAAUUUACAAUGAAAAUAUUUGGCGUAAAGGUAAAAUAUCAAGCUAUUUCAUCCAUAUAUGUAUACUUUAUGUAAGUAAAAAGAAUGUACAACUUUUAAUGACAGGCCGUAGAAGCUAUCACUAAGAGGGUAUUUAGCCAUACAACGCUGACAUUUUCUAAUGUGUUGGGUCCAAACGAAGAUAUAAGUUUCUUUGAACAUCCCAUGUGUUACGUCGGAGCAAGCGCAUUGAUUGGACCACAAGUAAGUAUAAGUCUAUAAUCAUGUCAUUCUAGUACUUGCAUAUUAAAUCUGUUUUUUUUCCUUUCUGAAAUCAUAUACAAGUACUUGCUGACAUUUAAUAAAUGUGUUUACGUUUGUGGUUGGACUAGGCUCUUAUCAUCCAUUAUGUAAGCUACGCAGACAAGAUUAUCAUCAAUCUAGCUGUCGAUACAACAGUGAUUCCAGACCCUCAUGUACUAUGUGAUAAUUUGGUAGAGUCGCUUGAAAUCAUCAAACUUUCUCUCUUGGAGAAAGGACUUCAUAAAAUGGAGGUUUGAGACGUUCACGCGAUAUAAAAAUGGAAGUCUACGUUAAAAAGAUAACAUGUGGUGAAAUGUACUAUGUUAGCUUUUGUAUUUGUUAUGAUGUUGUGUUUAUUAUAUUAUAUAUAUACAUAUUCUACUUUGGUAGUAUAAACUUUUUAUUUGUAUACGAAAAAAGCAGACAUGUAGCAUUUACACAAGACGACCAAACGUAGACCACAAGCACCACUAACAUAUAUAUUUACAUAAUCAAUACCUAUUUUCAUCAGCAAACAGAAUUCGAUUCCCUUUUGCCUUGGAAUUAAAGGAACUGUUCAAGGGCUUGUGUACCAUUGCUGUUCAAGAGCUUCAUCAUGAAGUUAAACCUGGUGUCUGGAGAUGUCUUUGGUUGUGGCCAAUUUGCUCCUUCAGGGAUCUUGAUGCAUCUGUAACUUUGAUCUUUAUAAAGUUUCGUGGCCUCCGUAUAGCUCGACAUCCCCAGUUCGUGGCUUAACCCUCUGCUUUCCAGAUCAGUACUCUCGUAUCUGGAGAUGCCUUUGGUUGUGGCCAAUUUACUAACUGUCACAGCGACUAAACAUAUCCCUCUGGUAGGCACCCUGGUGGAACGGAGAAACCCAUUAUCAUCGCCAUCAACCUAUCAACUCUGAGGACAAGAUCAAGAGGGAACGAAUGUCCAGGGAAGAAGGAGGUGCAAUGUGUUUCUGCCACUUCCCACCAGUCCUCCACUCUAUCUUCCCGGACAACAAUUUCAGGUGAAACCACUGGGAAAAGAUCAAGUACAAACCUAAAAGAAAAGAACAACUUUAUCGUCUACUGACGAAUCAAAUCAUGUCGUAUGUUAAAGGAUGGGAGCUUUCAUGGAUCAUCAAUUACGACUAGAAGCGAUCUCUUCGAAUGAGACUCCCCCUUCCAUCUAUCAGUCAAAUUCUGUCUGUCCUCAGAACUUACAUGACUCUACUCUCCAGACAUAAAAAACAGUUUUGUUUGCUAUCCUGAUGUAUCUUGGGUAGAUAAUUAGCACUCUGCAGGCAUAGUCUGGGGCUUUAAAAGACUCCUGUAAUAAAAUCCUGCUUCAGGGAUCAGCUUCAACUGAUGCUACAGAUACAGUUUCAAUUUUGUUGGUGUAAGGUAAUGUUUUGUGGAAACUGCUCAGCUCUUUUUGUGGAGACUGUUCAGAAGCUGAUAGACUUGCAACUCAAGCUAGAACAGGAAAAUAACCAUAUGUUGUAAAGUGGAUCACAUAAAUAUUUGUCUGAGUCUGUUUGUACAACACUUAUAUAAGUUUCUCUAUAAAUAAUAAUAAUAUUUAAGGUUUAACUAUAAUUAGAAUUGUAACUCGAUCAAAAUCAAAGCCCGUGAAAUCUAACUCGUUGUUCUCUAGAACUCAGUCUAGUAGCAGCUAACGGAGAGUCAUAGAUCAUAAUGCCUUAGGUCAAACCUGAUUUGCUAGACGGAGUUUGAGAAACAGAAACCGUCGGCGAGAGAAGCCAUGACGGUUUUGCUUGAUCAAAGCUGAUGGGGAUAGCUCCGUCGUCCCCAUUCCCCAACGGCGUGCUCUGCAUUUCUCACCGCACUAUUACGGAGAUGGCAACAACAAAACCGGACGGUUCAACCGGUUCAAUUCGUUAGUAAGAAUCUUGAAAAAAUUACAAUAUGACAUACUUUUUCGUUCUCUACUAGGUGAUUUUCCAGUGAUUAUGCAUGGAUAUAAAUAUUUUUAAAGUAAAUAUAUUAUAAUAAUUGAUUGUUAAUUACUUUUAAUUUUAAAUUAAUUUAUAAUUGAGUAUUUGCAUGCUAUAUACAAGAAAAACUAUUUAAUUAGCUAACCGGUAUAUGCGACUGUUUAGUACUGUUAUUUUUUCGUUAUUUCCAAUUGUAUCCCUCUAUUAUAGCCACUGCACAAUAUUAUUUCUCGCAUUUAGGACAACACACAAUCAUCUCUUUCCUCUUUGAUUCAUCACCGUAAAUAAACAAAGACAACACACAGAAAAAAUAAAUCAUUGAUAACUUAAGACACGAUCUAUUGAGAAACAAGAUUUUCCAACUUCGAGAUCCCUGAUUUUGAGGUAAACCAGAUCAAAAUACGAUCUCUGAUGGUUGUUAUCAUGGUAGCCAUGUUCCGAUGUACCACGUAUGUCCAUAGCGGGGGUUGCUGAGCCAACAACCCGAGUUGGCUAGAUAUUAAAGACGAAAGAGAUAAUUGUGAGAAAUAACAGAGAUGAUUGUGAUUGCGAGGAUCAGAUGUUGUGGAAAAAUAGGGUCCGAUUUUUAAGGUUUAGAUCUUGAGACCCGACUAGUUUUCUUCUUCAGUCAAUAUCCAGAUAUGCGCUCACUCACACCACACAAAGCCGCUGUUGUAGCCCGGUGAAGGUCUCGAUGGUUUCUGAAACAAAGAAAAAGAAAAGCUUGAAACAAAGAAAUGUAAUUACACAUUUGGUCAGAUGUAAUUAAAUAUUUCAUAUAGGCUAUAAGCACGUGCAUGAGGAUUAAUUUGUAAUUCCACAAAUGACUCAUACCCACUUACCUAAUUAAAGAAAUUUUAUAGCCAUUUACCUGAUUUCCACUUUUUCCAUGUAUAUUCAGCUAAAUCACUCUUUAUAAUUUAUAUGCAUCAUUUAUUUUAAUAAUAUUAUGUUACUUUAAUUAUACAUAUGAUUUUUUAUAUGUUAUAUCUAAUCGAUUUUGUUUUUUUUCAGUCGAUUUAGUUAUCAUUUGGGUAAAUUGGAUUGCAUCUAUGAAUUCAACUGUAAUAUUUUUAUUCUAUAUAUUAAAAUUUUGGUUAAUUUCUUAUUUGCAUUUAGGUGGUUGUUAUCUUAGAUAUGUGAAUAUAUUUUAUGAAAAUUAUGUAUAACUUAAGAUAUAUUGUGCUUAGAAUGAAAUAAAAAUAAAUAAACUAAAGUGUCUGAUUCCAAAUUACAUAAAUUAAUAUAACGAAACGAUAAUAUUCUGAAGUCUCAUGCAUAUAUAUAAAUUUUACGAAAGAACUAAAUUGUAACAGUUGGUUAAUAUUCUAUUUUUAUUUUUAAUAUGCUUUGAGUUGUCAUAUGAUUUAUAUUUAUAAAAUAAAUUACUAUUCUUAUAAAAUUAUAUAUUCUUAUCGUAGUUAAAUCUUUGAUUUUAAAUAUAAGUUGGAUUAGUCAAAUCACUCAUAUUGUGAGUAUAUUGAAUUACAUAUUCUUUAAAAUUCAAAAUGAAGUAUAAUUAUUUUUUAUUAUAAUUAAGUCGUGUAUGUAUUUUCAUAAUAUUUAUCAAAAUUAUGUGUUGGUCCUUGACUUAUAUUUACCAAAGUGACGAAUACAAGGUCCUUGACACCACUACAAAGAGACAUGAGACCAUUCACCUUCGCCGAACAAUGAACCACGACCAGAAACGACGGCGAGAACGCCAGACGCCGGAAUGAAAGUCGCACAAGCUUCCCUCCACCAAAAGCAACGAAAUCCAAAUUAGAUCUAGGAAAAAAAACUAUCUACUCUUGAAGCCAUAAACGUCGACUACAACCACUAUCACACUUUCGUCGUGAAACCACAGAAAACUGAAAUGCCAUCUGACUAAGCAAUAACCAGACCGACGACAAAACCCUAACGCAGAUCUAAUGCCAUAUUAAAUGGAGGAGUGAGACAGAUGGAGAAGCAAUCGAGACUAAACAAAAGAAAAAGAGAAAAAGUCUGUAUCGCCGGAUGCGCGUUCACACACUGCCAGACACCGGAGCGAUAUUGAUAUGUAGUUCUAACCUUGGAGAGGAUAAAGGAGAGAGAAAGUAUUUUGGGAAAAUUGUUUUUUUAGAGCAAAAAAAUGGUAACUAUGUCCCUUUAUACUAAUUUAUACUACUUUAUGUCCCAUUAGACUAAUUUUUUUCAAAAUGGCAGUAAUGCCCUUAAAAUUGUAAUUUUUUAUUUCCUUUUCGUUUUUUUUUGUUUUUUUGUUCUUUUUUCGUUUUUUUUUUAUUUUUUUAAAAAAAAAUCGAUUUUUUUUUCAAAAUAUAAAAGUGUAUAUUCCCAAAUAUUUUGUUUCCAUAUUUUUAGGAACUGAUUUCUUAUCCGUAGAAUACAACUAAUAUGUAGAAAUUGGUUUCUACAGUUUUUUAGAAUUAUAGUAAUGUUUCGAUUUUGAUUUCUACAUGUUUUAGAUUUAUAGUAAAUCUGUAGAAGUCGGUUUCUACGUGUUUUAGAUUUAUAUUAAUGUGUAGAUUUUGAUUUCUAAAGAUUUUAGAAUGAUAGGUUAAGCGCGGAAUGUGUAUUCUAAAUAUUUUUAGAAUACUCCUAUUUACGUAGAUCACGUAUUCUAAACAUUGUAGAUUCAAUGAAAAAAGUGGAUUUCGUUUUCUACUUCGUAGAAUGUCAUUUCUACUUUAUUUAGAACAUAAUAUAAAAUUUAUAAUUUUAACUUUUUUAUAACUGGAAAAAAUAUCACUAAGUUCGUAUAGGUAUUUUAUCAAAAGUUACUAUUUUUCCAAUUUUUUUUUGUUUGUAAAACUAUUUAUUAAAUUUAUUUUCAAAAAUAUUAAAGGGUGUUAUAGGAAAAUAUGACACAAAAUAUAGAUUAGUCUAAAGGGACAUAGUUACCAUUUUUUUGCUCUAAAAAAAACAGUUUUCCCAAGUAUUUUUAACUUUUUUAUUUAAAUUAGAAAAAACGUAUUUUCUUACACCAAAUCACACGUUUCUUACACUAGUGGACAAUUCUAGUUUAAAAUCUUAGGAUAAAGGAACAAACAUAAUAUUUAUCAUUACAUGUCACCAUCAUUACCUUCAUAUCAUUAUCAUCAUUUUCCACAAUCAUCAUCAUUCUUAUCAUAUCACCACCAUCAUCGUAACAUAACGGUGAUGCACGUUUGCAUGUCCGUCGACCAAUAGGGUAAUUGCUGAUUACUAUUCGUAAAAUUGAACGAUUUUUUAUAAAAAUGGCGACUUGCGGAUUCUUAUAAUCUUAAAACCUGCAAACCAACAUUUGAUUAGGUUGUAGCAACAUCAAAACGAAAAGACAUUAACUAUUAGUCAUAAUCUAUAAUAAUUAUAUUAUCAACAUCUUCAAUUCAGAAAAAAAAAUCAUAACAUUAAACAUCAUACCACCACCAUCAUCAUCAUCAUACCAUAACCAUCAUCAUCAUCUUUCUACAAAAAUCUGUUUAGUGGUUUGAAUUUUACAAAGACGACUUUCAUAUAAGUUACUUUGUAUAUAAUAUUGAUUGUGUGUGUUUUUAUAUAAAGAAGAACUGUGUUGCAGUUGAAUUUAGCAAAGCUUGUUGUAGAUGAUACUUUCAAAGUUAACUAAAGAAUAGUUAAGGAAGAUCGUAUCGUCAAACAAAUUAUAGAAAGUCUUUUUUUCUACAUUAAUUAUAGAAAGUCUUUACCACGACUUUAAAACAAUCUUUUUUGUAAUCGUUUCAGAUUUCCCGUUCUCAGGUUGAUUAAAUAAUAUUAUAUUUAAAAAACAAUCUUCUUAAUUUGUAUUUAGGUUUUAUAAAAAGAACAAUGGUUGAAAUAUGGAUUGUUAUUUUUCUGUUGCAAAAAAAAAAUAUAUAUAUAUAUAUAUAUAUAUGUGUGUGUGCAUGUUUUUUUGGUAAACAUAUAUAUGCAUGGUUAUUUUGUAGUUAUGGUAUUUGAGCAAAUUUAAGUAAUAUUUAAAUGUAACAAAUUUCAUGAUGUUCGAAGUUUUUGGGGUAUUUGAAAUCAAAAUAGUAAAUUACUGUCAAUUGUUCUUUUGGGGAUUUCUAUAUGUGACAAUUUAUGUGACAAUUUAAAAAUGAAAGUUAAUUCGCAUGUAAAAAAUUCAAUUUUUAUAUCUAUAUAUUAUGUUGAUCCGUCAAAAAUAUCGCAAAUUAUUAUCAAAGUCGUAUUCUAUGCAAUUGAAAUUUUAUAUGUAAAUUAUUAGCAAAGCCUGUUUAUAUGAUUGUUUCAAAGUAAACUAAAGAAUAGUUCAUAAGGAAGAUCGUAAGGUCAAACAAACUAUAGAAAAUCUUAACCUCAACUUUAAAACCAUCUUCUUUGUAUUUAGGUUUUAUAAAACGAACAAUGGCUGAAGUAUGCAUGAUAAAUUUGUAUUUAUGGUAUUUGACCAAAUUUAAGUAUUUAAAUAUAAAAAAGUUUAUGAUUUUCAAAGUUUGUUUUCUAUUUGAAAGCAAUGUAGCUAAUUACCGUCAAAAAAAAUUUUGGUAUUUCAUAAUACUUAAGAUUUCUGUGACAAUUUCAUGUCUUUAGCCAAAAAAAAUGAAAGUUCUCUUACAAAUUUUCAAUUAUUUACAUAUAUUAUGUUGAUCCGUCAAAAAGUUGCAAUUUAUUACCAAAGUCGUAUUCCAUCAAUGUCAGUUAUUCUACUAUCUUCUGCAGUUACCCGUUGGACUUUUUUGUCUUUAUAUUCGUUGUAUCUGCAAAGUGUUUAGACUGCAGUUUUAAAAUCAUGUCUUAUAAAUGAUUAGCAAUCUUUAGGCUGUAUUUAUCCCCAAAAAUACUAUUUAGGAUGUAACAAUAAAUUGUCAAGUGAAAUUACCCAUACAAUAAUAAAUUAAUAAACAGUUUACAAAUGCAAAACGUCUAAAUCCAGAAACGAAUCUCACUUAUUCGCUAUACAGUCGACACUAAACUUAUCACAGCUUUGGUAAAGCAAGAGACCAUCCUUCAAUGUUUAAUCCCAAAACAAAAACAUUAAAUCGUUGUCGCGGAAAUUUUCCAAAACUUGCAUCUUAAUCAUGAGAAACAUACAAAAGGGAAAUUGUACGAAAUAAAUUUCAACAAAAACUGAUGUGGACAAGUUAAAUAUUUCAGAGUUCUGAUUCAAUAAUAAUUUGUAAGCCACUGAACCUUUACCCAAAAUAGAUAUUGUUCAGUCCGACCAAACUGCCAGCUCAAUCUCGAUCCACAAUUCUCGCCACGUAUGUCUCGCCGACAUCAGAAGUGUACUAACCAUAGGUUUUCAAGAUGCCAGAAUAAUAUGUUUCAUUAAAAUAAUAAUAUACAAUAAUUGUAAAAUAUUCGAUUUGGUUUUAUAUAUAAAUUCCAAAAUAUCGUUAAAAUUUAAUAAAUAAACAAUCCAUCAAUUAUUAUGCUUUAGUUAUUUUAUAACGAUUAUACGUUUAUGUCAUAUAAAUAAGAAAUACGAGGAAAAUAUGAAGAAAAACAUACAGAUAAAUAAUUUGAAUAUAUUUUUAGUUUUUGGUAAAAUAAUGAAUUAUGUGAAUGUAAAUGGAAAAUUAUAAAGGUUCUGGUGGGAUAUCUCCCCGGAGGUUAGGAAGAUGUGCUGGGUAUCAUGGCAAAGACUCGCCAAACCGAAGAACGCAGGUGGACUGGGGUUUAGGGAGAUCGAACAAUUCAAUGACGCAAUGUUAGCAAAACUCUCUUGGAGGAUCAUGAAGAACCCGACCUCUCUACUGGCAAAGACUCUUACAGGGAAGUAUUGUGUUCAUGAGUCUUUCCUUGAGUCCCAAGUCCCCUCAAGCACCUCCCAUGGUUGGAGGGGAAUUCUGGUAGGUCGGGACCUGUUGAAGAAGGGUAUAGGAUGGGCUAUUGGGUCAGGCAAGGACGUUAAUAUAUGGACAGAGCCUUGGUUAUCUACCACUGAACCGAUGGCUCCAGUUGGCCCCCCUACGGUUACUAACCAAGCGUGGCGUGUCAGUAGUCUCAUACUACCAGGUACUAAUGACUGGAACUUAGAGGCUAUCAGGAGGACCUUACCACAAUAUGAGGAAUGCAUCCGCAGUCUGAUCCCAAGUGCUUUGCAAGCACCCGAUGAAAUGGUGUGGCUCCCCAAUGCGUCGGGGGUAUACACUACAAAGUCUGGUUAUGCGGUGGCGAAACUCUACAACGGGACACAGGAGGAUAGGGACUUCAAUUGGAAGAAGUGCAUUUGGCAGGUGGAUACUUCCCCAAAAAUCAAGCAUUUCAUGUGGAAGGCAAAUAACAGAGCACUCCCUGUUGGCUCUGUUUUACAAGCUCGAGGUCUAUCGUCAGAGAUUGUAUGCAAGAGAUGUGGGGCAGUGGAGACGGAGCUUCAUGUCAUGCUAAAAUGCCCGUUUGCGUCGAAAGUCUGGGAGCUAGUCCCGUGUAUGUUCAAACCGUCAAUGGAUAACACGGAAUCUAUAUCUUCUCUCUUGCAUCAAUGUAGAAAAAUGCUCUCGCUCCCCCCAUCAGGGCUUGGAACAACCCCGCUGUAUCCAUGGAUUCUUUGGAUCCUUUGGACGAAUAGAAACAAACUGAUGUUUGAAAAUAGGGUGUUUUCUGAGCAGGAAACUGUACUAAAAGCUCUUAAAGAUGCUCGAGCGUGGAAGGCUGCUCAAUCGUGUGAUAAAAUGCCUUCUAUACCACAUUGUGUGGUCCAUCAUUCUCAGUUACCAGUUGCUAAUUCUUACACUUGGUCAUCUUAUUCAGAUGCAGCUUGGAACUCAUCGACAGGGAACUGCGGGAUUGGCUGGCUCCUUCGAGAUGCCGACAAUGCUAUUGCAGAAAGUUCCUCCUCACACCGGCGUUAUGUUCCUUCGGCUCUUGUGGCUGAAGCAUUGGCGGUCAAAGCGGCAAUCACCGCUGCAAUCUCUUCACAUGUCAGUAGCAUUCGUGUCUACUCCGACUCAAAAACCCUCAUUUCGCUCUUGAAUUCUCAAGGACAGGAUGUGGUGCUGAAAGGCGUACUCCAUGAUAUCAAUGUUUUGGCUCGCUCUUUCUCCUCUAUCUCAUUUAUGUUUGUCCCGCGUUUAGCAAAUGUAGAGGCUGACUUGCUUGCUAAAGCAGCUCUCUUUUCCAUCGACUCUGUUUGAAACUUUGUAGAACCAUUUAUGUUUAAGUAAUCUCAGUUGGUUUGCUAAAAAAAAAAAUUAUAAUUGGGUGUCAUCUUGGCAAAAGAAACCCACAGAAGAGAGAAGAGAUCAUGUUUUGGAAUGUUUUUUUCUUAGAUUUCGUCAAAUAAAAUCGUUGCAUUUAUUAUGUGUAUCAGAAAGUACUCACCCCUUACGAUUAGUCUAUGUCCAAGUUCCGUGGCCAAUUACAGUUAGAAACUGCCACUCACAAUUUCUCUAUUGUCACAUUUCCAACUACCACAUUACCUAUUAAUAGUUUCAAAAAAUAAAAACAUUACCGAUUAACAUAGAGUGGAAAAAAGGGUGUAACAUCUCUCGGAGAAUUCUUAAAUUCCAAAAUAGUUUAGAAAACAAAAUAAGUUGUGCUGUCAAGAUAUCCGUAAUAUCUUUAUGCAGUACGAAUCAAUAUAUAUAAGAAAGUCGAGUAACGAUUAGUCUAUGUCGUCGGUUCGUUUAAGAGUGAUACAUCAUCUGUUUGUAAAACUUGACACUCCGCCAAACGCCUCGCGUCAAAUGUCAUAUUGUAUUUAUCUCUGUGUCCAACUGUACUCGGCCAUGGACGGACCUAGCUACGCAUAGAGUAUUUAGAUGUGCCUUCCACAUAUGCCAAUUGAAUAAAAUAUUAUUUUGAUAGAGGCCGAUCGUUUUAGCCAAUGAUUCUAAUAUGGUUUCACAUUUUCCAUUAAUUGUUUCAGGUUCUUGUUUUCUAUAUUUGACAUUCCUUUAGCCAACUCUUUUUUAUAUUUUGUUCCAAAAUAUUUUAAUGUAAAAUUUUCUAUAACUUAUCUCUAUUUUCACCUCAAAAACAAAGAUUAAUAUUUUAUGUGUAAAAGUAUAUAUAUUCUUAUAAGAUAAAAUUAAAAUUUUAUUUAAAAAAUAAUAUAUCAACUUCUUAACUCUUUUAUUUGAAACUAAAACAAAUUGAAUGUCGUAAGCUGACCAGAAGUAGUUUAGUAAAGUUCGUCGACACCGACUUCAUUAUAUGUCAAUACAAGAUAAUCAUUUGUAAUAAAAAAUACUAUUAAAUAGCUUUUAUGAAAAGUAAAACUUUAAACUGCAAACUAGACAAUCACUAUCAUACAUGACAAUUAAAAAAAAUCUCUAACUGAAUCACAUGCAUAUCGUUGUUGUUGAUAAUACGUAUAAGUGAAACAAAGAUACCAGUACUGGUCACAUAACACAACUAAAAAACAAGGCAUUUGCAACGAAAUAUAUCACGGUUUUUUUGUCAAGUUCGAAUAUAUCAAUUUAUCAGUCGUUAUAAAUUGAUAAUCAUCGAAAGCGUUUCUUCCUUUUCUCUCCAUUUUCUUGGGGGAUAUAAAAGCAGCUUGAAACAUUAUUUCGAGGUGUUCUUAGUUUCUCGGCCAUCCAUGGUCGAGUAUCUCUAAAUAUGUGGAGGUAUGUAUAUUAGAGAAAGAGAAAAAGAGAACUUUAGGUAAACUUUCAGAAAACUUUUAAAAAACGUACUGGGUGGCUUUAUAAAAGAAAAGUUCACUUAAUAGGAGGCUUGUCGACCACAUUUGUAGCUAAUGCUACUCGACGGGUAAUCUGACAAUUUGCCUUUUAAAUUUAUAUAAAGAAACUAUAGUGGCUGUGUUUUUUUACCAAACAGUUAAACCUAAAACAUGUUCUGGUAUAACUGGAUAUAUUUUUAAGAUCUUCUUUAAAAAAAUUGGCAUCGAUAGCUAACUUUUACCCAGACGUUUGAUUAAUAUUCGAAGUGAUUAGAGCUUUAGCAUUGCGUUUUCGUAGACCUCUCACGUACGGAUAUAAACUAAAACCUAGUUGUCAAGUAAUACGAAAGGUUUGCAACUCAUGAAAUUAAACCCUAGGAUAACGAGUUCUCUUGUUGUCGUGGAUAGAGUAACUUAAUAGAAAACAUUACUUUUUGUACUGGCACAAAUGAAAAUAAAAUAUGCACUAGACAUUCAAUAACUUGUGAAAAUAACAGUACUCAUUAAAUGGUACGAAAUGUUGUAAUAAUUAGCAAUCGGCCGUGGAGUCAUGGACCAAAAAAAUAGAUUACCAUAAAUAAAAGAGCGAGUGAUAGAAAGCCACAAACGAAGGACAACCAGAGCCGUGCAUGUAUCCAAUUUACAUUAGUGGUCUUCUUUCUUUCAAUAAAACUGCAUUUUUCCUUACCUCUUAUAAUAUUAUAAAUUAUGAGGGGUUUGUAUCCCAUUGAUCUCUUUCUUCGGACGAUUGCCAGAGAUCACAGAUUUAAUUAUUAUGCUAUGGUACUAUGUCUAGUUAUUAUAAAAAAUUAUCUAAAACAGUUUUUUAGCAAAACAUUUUUUUAUAAAUUAUAAAAAAAAAAUUACAUAGAUGAUUUUACAAAACCUCUUAUGAAGAUUCUCGUUGACUAAACCAUCAUAAGAGGCUUUAUAAAAAUCCAUGCCUUAAAAAAACUAUGUAGAUCUUUUCUCUAGUAGUAUGCAUAAUUAGUAUCUUCGAAAUUCGUAACACAUAUAUGCCUCUUAAUGUGAAAAUAUUUAAAACCCCUAAGUUAAAUAUUCACCAUUUGCACAGCCGCUUAUGUAUCAAAAUAAAUUAAAAACUUAUUCUUUAGACAAAAAAUAUAGCAUAUAGUACCUCAGGGCAAAAGAGGAAAACUCUGAAGCCAAUUGUUUCCAUAAAUACACCCACUCACCAUCUAUGCACAUCAGCCACAUCCCUUUUCUCUCUCUCUCUCUUACUCUGUGGAAGCUACAUAAGUAUAUACCGCAUAAACAACUAAACAAUGUCAACAGAUUUGACGGAGGAGGAGUCGUUGUCCGGCAAGGAUUACCAAGAUCCACCGCGUGUUAAGAUUUUCGAGGCGAGGGAGCUAGGAAAAUGGUCCUUCUAUAGAGCAGUCAUCGCCGAGUUCAUAGCUACUCUCCUCUUUCUAUACGUCACCGUCUUGACAGUCAUCGGUUUCAAGAGCCAGACGGAUCUCCAAACGGGUGGUGGAGCCUGCGCCAGCGUCGGCCUUCUUGGCAUCUCUUGGGCCUUCGGUGGCAUGAUCUUCAUCCUUGUCUACUGCACUGCAGGCAUCUCUGGUCUAUUUUCUUCUCUGUUGCUUCCUUAUAAGUAAUAUCCAUCUUUUGCAUCCUCUAUAGAUGUUUUAGUACCAUCGAGCAUUUGGCAGUUAAAACAAUAAUUUUUCAAAUCAACUCCAUUACAUGAUUUUUUUUUAUUAAUCUGGGUAUCCGAGACCUACGAGCCAUUACAUAAUUGCAUAGUUUUUUUUAUUUUUUUUGAAAAGAUAAUUUGCAUAGUUAGUUAAUGAAUAUGCAUCAAUUCAACGUUCUUAAGAGACUCGUAACAAAGAAGCAAUAUUUUAACCAAAAAAACUACUAAAUGAAACAACUAUAGUCCUCUAAUGAUUAGUGAAACACAAUGCUGACCACUAUACACGUGGUAAGAAAACAUAGCUUUCUACAAAAUUUAUAUUCCCACCUGUUUGGCUGUUUCUAAAGAUGUAUGUUUAAGAUUUUUUUUCAAGAAUAUUUAUGUUUUAUUAGUCCUACGUAAAAUUAAUGUUUCAUAUCUUAUAAUUUCACACAUACCAAUUAAGUUCAAUUCAAUGUAAAAUUUAUAUUAAAUCAACAAAUUUAAUUACUUGAUGUUACAUGUGAUAUUCCAAAUAUUUACUGAGAGUGUGUGAAAACACACCGAAGUUUACAAUUUCAAAGGGAAAAACUGAGGAAUGAAAAUACUAACUCUCAACUGUUUUAGCUGGUUUAAUGAAAUUACUAAUCAUGCUGGUUUAUUGAAAUUACUAAUCAUGUAUACAUGUGUGUGUAGGUGGGCACAUUAACCCCGCAGUGACGUUUGGACUAUUCUUGGCUAGCAAGGUGUCGUUGGUGAGAGCUAUAUCAUACAUAGUGGCUCAGUGUCUCGGAGCGACUUGCGGAGUUGGUUUGGUGAAAGUCUUUCAGAAGACUUAUUACAACCGUUAUGGCGGUGGAGCCAACGUCCUCGCCGAUGGAUACAACGUUGGUGUUGGUGUUGGUGCUGAGAUUAUCGGCACUUUUGUCCUUGUCUACACGGUCUUCUCUGCUACAGACCCCAAGCGUAAUGCCCGUGACUCUCACAUUCCUGUAAGCAAUUCCAACUUUUUUUUCUUUACAUUUCAAUAGAAACUAUAACCGUUGAUGUUUAAAUAUAUUUUUAUGCUGAGUUCUUGCAUGAGUCUCACCAAAAAAAUCAAAUAAAAUAUGUGAGAGAAUGUAAAAAUAAAAAUAAAGAGAGGUCUCCUAUAUGAGAAAUCCAGCAAAAAAAUUGAAAGACUCAGUGACUAUUUAUCUUAUUAUGAAUUGUCUAAAUUACAAGUUCUAGAUACCCACAAAGAAACUCUUACCACUAGUAAUAUUCUAAGUAUUUACGGAACAAUUAAAUGUGUACUAGUUUUAAAACGGAACAAUUAAAUGUGUACUAGUUUUAAAGAUUUUAAAACUUGUUAACUCAAAAUAAAAUACAUAAACUAACAUUUAAAACUUAACAACUAACUAAAAAAUAAAGAUGCUAAGUAUUUUGAACUAAAAUUGAUAGUUUUCUUUCUCUUCACUUAUUUUCAAAAAAAAUAUAUAGUACUAGACUACUAGUGAUGCCAAUCAAAGUUGGAAAGAGAUCAGGAUAUUUUUUGAUUCCGUUGUCGCAACUUUGGACCCAGGGACGUAACAGAAUCUAGUGCCAGCUCUAGAAAGCACUAUAAAUACUGAACACGACUUCUUCUAGCCAUUUUGGCCUAAACGAAAAUAAUACGGAGCAAGUAAUAAUAAGUGUAGCGUCUAACUUCUUCUAUGAGAUAAACGACGAAAUUGUGUCCAAUUAUUUUUCAUUCAUCUCUUGUAUCUUUCUUUGGUACCAAGACGUCCUUUCACGAUAUAAAGACAUAACAUCUUUGUGAUCCACGUCCCUUCAUCACAUUCACAUGUCUUUGUAUGUAAAUGGUCCACUGUUCACAACGACCCAUGUGUUAUAUGUAUUUGUACAUACAUGCAUGUUCCAUGAUCUUAACAUCUCCUUUCAAGAAAGAUUCAUUACAAAACCAAAAUCUUUCAGUUAUGCAACAUUGUACACAGUACACACUCAUUCUCUUGACUAUUCUAGUAUACUUGUACCUAUACCUCCUUCAAAUUCAUGUCAAUAUUAUUGUUAAUAACCACACGAAGCUGAUUUGUUUUGUGUUGAAAUGAAUUUAUUGAAGGUAUUAGCCCCAUUGCCAAUUGGAUUUUCCGUGUUCAUGGUUCAUUUAGCCACAAUCCCAAUCACUGGAACCGGAAUUAACCCGGCUAGGAGUUUUGGAGCUGCAGUCAUCUACAACAAUCAAAAGGCUUGGGAUGAUCAAGUUAGUAUUUUUUUACCACUCUAACUAAUACUCGUUUUUGAGCCCUAAUUAGGUUAUGAAUGGAGUUAUAAUUUCUUAUAAUUAAGUGCAGUGGAUCUUCUGGGUGGGUCCAUUUGUGGGAGCAGCCAUUGCAGCUUUGUACCAUCAGUUUGUCUUGAGAGCUGGUGCUAUGAAGGCUUAUGGGUCAGUCAGGAGCCAGCUUCACGAGCUUCACGCUUAGAAUUUGAUUUUUUUCAAACAAUCUAAGUGGUGAAGAUUUCUUUGGGCUAGGAAGGAAGGAAAAAAAAAAUAUCAAGUAAUAAUAAUAAAAUUUUAUUGGUGAGUAACAUUUAGUGUCGUGUUUGUUACUUUGAGGGGGAGGUUUGAGAGCGAAUUUAUAAACCAAUUUGCAAUAUCCAAGCCUGUAGAAUGUAUGUUUUCAUUUGAUGUAUUUGUGAUUUAUAUUCCGUACUUAUCAAUGCUUCUAUAUUUGAUGUAUGAUGAUGUAUCACAAUUAUGAAUUAUCUACUUAUUUAAAAUCACUUUCUUCCUUCUAAUAUAAACACAGUUUGACAUUUCUCACAUAAUUUAAAACACAAUUUUUUUUCCACAACAUCUGUCUUUAUUCAUUUCGGUACGUAAAUGAAAUAUUUUUUGUCAGCAUUCACAUUAAUACUUUUAGACUAAAAUAAUACCUUUUCCAUUUUUGAAUAAAUGUCAAUUUGAUAUUUUUCAUACAGAUUAAUAAAAUGACUGAAAUAUAUGUAAGUUGUUAUUAACUCCAUUUAUCUGAUCCAUAGUAUUUGAGAUAAAUAAAAUUAUUUAAAAAAUCAAUGCAGUUUAUAAUUAAUUUUCAACUAAAAAGUAUAAUUUGCAUUGAAAAUAUAAAAUGAUAUUUUUUUUGUGAAACAAAAAAAAAUGUUAGAAUGACAUUUAUUAUGAAAGAGAGGGAGUACUACUUGCUCGGAAACAAAGUGAGGAUAGUAACUAAUUAACCAACACUUGAUUUUUCCUCAAAACAAUUAUAUUAAUUCAACUCAUUCAACCAUAUAUACUCUAAAAAAUCCAAAACAGCCCAAUAUAUUAAAACAAGGCCCAUUAAAGAUUCCUCAGCAAAAAAAAAAAUGAAAAAGUAGUAGUAAGUAGAAAGAUAGCUACCUCCUUCCCUCACUCUCUAGAACUCCCACCGUCUGUCUCUCUUUAUCACUCUCAUUCUCCCAAAAACCCUAAUCUCACAAAAAUGGCAGCCGCCGCCGCACCUCCACCACCUCCAACCGCAGCACCAGAGCCAAACAUGGUCCCACAAACCUCCCCCAUCGGCCACCCAAUCUUCUCCCGCAUCCGCCUCGCCACGCCUCUCGACGUCCCCUUCAUCCACAAACUCAUCCACCAGAUGGCCGUCUUCGAGCGCCUCACCCACCUCUUCUCCGCCACCGAGUCAAACCUCUCCUCCACUCUCUUCACCUCCCCUCCCUUCAAAUCCUUCACCGUCUUCCUCCUCGAAGUCUCCCGCUCCCCGUUCCCCACCUCACUCCCUUCCCCUCCAGACUUCGCUCCUCUCCUCAAAACUCACAACCUCGAUCUCCCUAUAGAAGACCCCGAGAGCUACAACUUCACGCCGGAUAUGUUAAACGACGUCGUGGUGGCUGGGUUUGUUUUGUUUUUUCCGAACUACUCGAGCUUUUUGGCGAAGCCUGGGUUUUACAUAGAGGAUAUCUUUGUGAGGGAGCCGUAUAGGAGGAAAGGGUUUGGGAGUAUGCUGCUGACGGCGGUGGCGAAGCAGGCGGUGAAGAUGGGGUACGGGAGGGUGGAGUGGGUUGUGCUUGAUUGGAAUGCGAAUGCGAUUAAGUUUUAUGAGCAGAUGGGUGCUCAGAUUCUUCAGGAGUGGAGGGUUUGUAGGCUUGCUGGUGAUGCUCUUCUGGCUUUCGAUAACGUUAGCAUCUGAUGAGACCACACUCUUCUUACUCGUUUCGCUUAAGUUUUAAAAGUUUCUUGCUUUGUUGUUGUCUUUUGUGUUUCUUGUCUUGUUUUUUUGUAAGUGUUGGCAUUGAUGAUAAUGGAUGAUGAUUCUCUCUGCCAUUUGACAUACAAUGAGAAAAAUAAAAAGCUUUUGUUGAAUGAAAACGUGUGAAGUUUUAAAAGUAGAUGUGUAAUAAUAGUGAAUCCUCAACGUUUAGACAGCUUGUGAUGUUUGCUUUGUCUCUUUUGUUCUUCUUGUCUUGUAAGUGUAGGCAUUGAUGAUUAGCUCUGCCACUCGCACAGAAUCAGAAAAACAAAACAUUUUGUUGAAUGAAAAAGCUUAAAGUAGGAUUGUAAUUGAAGUUUCUCAUCGUUUAGACAGCUUAUGAUGUUUUGCUACAAUGGUCGGACACAACGAGGCACAAGUCUUUUAAGAUGGUUGCAACUACGUAGUAAGCGUUAUUUGCUUCAAUUACUCUUAGUUGAGACAAUAGUCUGAGUGUCUUGGAUAGAUAGAGAAUUGAGAAACUGGGAGACUUGGACAUGCUGCCAAUAAUAAUACCAACAUAAUGUAGACCACAACAUUAUUCAUGUAUUAAGGUUACUUUUGGUUCGUUCCGAAGAGCUACAAACAUGAAACACCAUCCAUGUAAUAAGCGUUGACAUUGAUGAUAAUGAUGAUAAUUUUUUUUUGGACAAAAAAAGCCUUUUGUUGAAUGAUUCCUCUAUAGUUUAGACAGCUUGUGAUGUUUUGACAAUGGUCGCAGUGAAUCUCACAAGUUUAAAAGAUUGUUGCAACUAUAUGGGACAAGCCUUUUUUGCUUCAAUUAGUCUUAGUGGAAAGAAGAAACGAAGUUUUAGUAGUCACUGUUUCUUGGAUAAAUAGAGAACUAGUAAGAAACAUGAGACUUGAAGAAUACAUGAAGUUGAAACAUUAGAUCGUUAUAACCAACAUCAUUCAUGUAUUAUAAGACCACAACAAGAAGGUUACUUUUGGUAAUAAUAGUUAAAGAAAUAAGUAAAACAAAUCUCAGUAGAUGAUUACAUGGUGCAAUUAAAUCACGGUGACGGUUUGGGUACAAGGUGAUUUUUAUUAGUUGACGACGCGACAGUUUCUGCGAAUCUCACCACCUUCAUCUCCAAGUGUAAGGACCUUGAUGGAGCUCAUCUUGAUCAUAGACCGACCAAACUGAGCAAGAAAGCUUUCAGAGUUUUGGAAAACACUAGCAAUGUGAGCGGCUGAGGAAUCAGUCAACAAGGCAGCGUCAGAGGUGAAGAGUCCUUUGUGUUGUAGGAGAGAUACGAAGUAGCCACUGUCGAAGGAGAGUGCUCCUGUGGGGUCCAUUCCGACCACUGCGGAAGAGUUGAGUCUUUGAGAUUUGUCUGAGCAUUUGGACUUGAGGAAAGAGGCGUAGCUAGAGUUCAGGGAAGGAUCCGUGUCCCCUUUUCCGGUGAAGUUCAACAGUCUCCGACCAAACACACCGCAUCGUGCUGUUCCUAUUGUGUGUGCUCCUGUUUCAUAUCACAUUAUCUUAUUUUUAGUAGAAAAUCAUCUCAAACUUUUAUCGACUCUAUAUAUCAAGACGUAUAUCAUCGGAUGGUACGGAUUUAUAUAUCUUUGUCUUUAAAAUUUCUUUACAUUCAUAUGAGAAGUGCAAAAGUUCGUUUUAGAAGUUAAAUGAGAUUCAAAUGAGCUAAAAAUGAUUUUUUUACAGCUUUUUUUUUGACAGCAGCUAAAAAUGAUUUACAUGAGCUAAAAAUAUUUAUAAAAUAACUAUAUUGUAAUAGUUAGUUAAAUUUUAGGGCAAUACAAAAGGUAAACAAAAUUAUUUAAACAAUUUCUGUUAUUAUCUUAAUCAAAUGGAGUAUUAAUAAUUUAAAUUUAUUAAAAUAAUUAUGUAAUCAUUUUUAUAGUAUUAAUGUGAAUAUCAUAUAUAAAUAAUCUAUUUAUUAAAUACUGUUAUAAUUAUUUAUUAAAUAAUGUUAUAGAAAUGUGUAAAAUAUCUGCUUGUUUAUUAGUUAAAUAGUGAGUAAAUUUUUUUUUUUUUUUUUUUUUUUUUUUUUAAAGUGAGUAAAUUAUAUGCUAAAUAACAGAUGAUUUAUAAGAAAAAAAUUCACUUCUGAACAUUAUCACGUGAGACGUGUUUUCCAAGAUUAUCCCUCAAAUAUUUUAUGUUCAAAAUAUAUUCUCUACUUUUUAUAGUAUAAAUGAUAUUUAUACUAUUUCUUGAAGAUGGGAGAAUUAAAUUUGUAGCAUCUCGUCAUACACGUCCUAACAUGGACAUGCACGUGGUCUGAUAUUCCCGCGAUUUUCUUAUUUCAUUGUCCCCUAUUUCAUAGGCCUGUUCUUAUCAGUAACUUAAGAAUAUUGUGUACAAUACAUAUGAUUACAAAAAGAUAAUAAGUAGAAACGGUAACCUGAUAAAGCAACGAGGUCAACGACGUCCAAAUCGCUCUCGGAAAAGAGUUUCUGUAGAGAGGUGAAGUUUGCCCCAGCGGACGGCAAGUCUCUGGUGGCCUCUGUCGCCAAUGAAACUCUUCCAUCAACACGUCCGGUAAAGACAUUCCAUAGCGGCCGACCAUACUAGAACAUCAUUCCCCCCAAAAAUAAGAAAUCUCGAAUUUCUGAAGUUUUGUUAUAUAAAUCCAUCUAAAUCAUAAACCGUAAUCUAAACAAAGGUCUAAAAGUCAGAUCACGGCAAUUGUUUAGGCGGUAAAUCAGUUAUAAACGAAACAAUUUUAAUAAAAUCGGCAAGACGUCCCUUUAGACACUAGUCCCCUAUAAAAUGCUUAAUUACAACAUAGCGAUUUCUUGUACAUCAAUCUGAACUAUUCCAAUAAUCUUCUAAAACUGAAGAAUAUAUCGAUUCUUGAUUUUGAUCAGCAAGAUGUUUUCUCACACACUACAGUGCUAUUUAUUGUUUGGUUAGAAAGUUUCUCUAAUCAUGAAAAUAUAUUAGAGAUACGAGUUUGUUUAUAUUACUUGGUACGAGACGGCAUCGCGGGCGGCUAGCGUGAGAAUGUCAGCGCAGGAGACGGUUUUGGGACAUCGUUUUUCAAGAACUGACUUGAUCUCAUCGAUGAUUCCAAACCCUACAAGCGAGAGAUUAGGUCUCGCCUCCUUCUCUGACGCGGCUUUGCCAGCAACCGAAUCUAAAAGCAGUGAUGCGUCACACCCCUAAAUAAUAUCAAUGCAUCCCCAUUAUAGUUGAUAUUUACUAUAAAGAUGUUCAGGAAAUGAGAAAAAAAAACAACGUUUAGAAGCAAUACAUACCCUAACAAAGCAGUCAUGGUAAUGAACCCUCAGUAACUUGGCAGCUAAGCUAGGGUUUGCUUUGACUUUCUCGGACACGAUCUCGUUCACGAUAUCCUCGGCUUGAGGACAGGUCUUGUGAUAGAAUUUCAUCUUUAGCUUACCCUCCCAUCUUCCUCUCCUCGUCGCAUGGCCAUUGUUAUGACCAUUAUUAUGACCACUGCUGCGACUGUCUCCCUUACCAUCAACAUAAAGUAAGACAGCCAAAACCAAAACAAGAGAAAAUAGAAACCGAGCUAGAGUCUGCUGAUUCUUAGCCAUGACUCGACUCAAGACUUUUAUAUUUGCUUUGAAGUAUUUGUGCUAGUUGUGUUUGAGGAAAGCACUUGCCCGGGCUGCUUUAUAGUGAAGCUGAUGCUAACACUCUCCACUUUUUCUGUUCAAAGAAAUUGAAUAAUCAUUGAAAUUAUUAUCAAGUAAAGUUCCCUGCAUGUGUUGUGAGAAUGAAGGAUUAAUUAUUAACUUACAAGUCAACACCAUUAGAAAAUAUAUAAUUCCCAAAAUCAUUUAGCUUCAUUAGCUGAACCAUAACGUGAACAUCCAUAAUUUAGAUCUAUUUAUGGAUUUCAAUGCUGUCUCCAGGACCAAUUUACAUUAAUUCAGGCAAUGUUUUUUAUAUACUUUCACUGUCCUCUGAAACUUCAAUUAUCAAACGAAGGAUUCUACUUCAGUGGGCAUGACCUCGAUCCUUCUACUUUGAAAUAGCCUGGAUUGACCCCCAUUUAUAUAUCAACUCCAAAUACAAGUGUAUCAUCUCAAUAUUGACAUACAAGGUGAAUGGUGGAACUGAAGAAUGGAUAUGAAUAAAAAAAAAAAAGGAUAUGAAAAUAUCCCUAGUACAAACUAUUUACUAGGAAUAUGAUGUUUUUUUGUCAGCCAAUUUGUGAACAAUAUUAUUGAGGUCCACAGGUCUGCCCUAAUUCUAAGUUGAAGAAGUUAGAUUUGCAGACAAUAGAUUACAUUGGCAUAUCAACGGGUGGUUCUUAUUCUGUCUAAUCAACAUCCAUAAGAACAUUUCUUUUAGGUGAUGUUAUGGGAUACACCAAGGUAAGCUACAGUCACCAAAAAGUUUGGUUACUAGCUUUGCAGAUUCAUACUAAAUUUUAUCAACAUCAAGCUAGAAAUGCCUCCAAGACUGAAUUGGUAGAUUUAGAAGCUGUUAAUUUGCCGUUUUAAUAUGCACUGCAAGUUUAGAGUUGUGUUUCUUAGGUGAUAUAAGCACCUCGAUAAGCGGCUAACAUGCAGCUAACGCCACAUGACUACAAAUACUUGUUUUGAGUUGCUGAAUUCAGAUAUUAUACUACUAUAACAUAAUCCAGAUGGAGUAAACUAAACGUCUGCAACGUCUUUCAACUCCUCUGAUUUGCUCUCUUCGGGGACCAAGGAAUUUGAUGGUUCUGAACUUGGUUCAAUAGCAGCAGAGAUGGAGUUUACUGAUUCUGGCAGUGCCUCUGAAUCCAAGUCGGCUGAUUCGCUAGUUCCAACACAUUUCUUACCAUCUCCUUUAACGUCAGAUUCUGAGACAGAGCACUUAGCCUCUGGUUCGUCUAAACCACCAGCUGUUGGAUCCUCCACUGGCAAGCUUUCCUCGUUCUCUUUCUGGGAACUUAAUGCUGAAGACAAAUGCUCUUGUUGCCCCUCCGAUUCUUCUUUCUCCACCAAGCCACCAGUGGCCACAUUAUCUUCAGAUUGAACGCUUGCAUUACCAACUUCACCCCUCUGUGUGGGCUCCUCAGUUUCAUCUAGAUUUGUGGACACAUUCUCUGGCUGAACGCUGGCUUCAACAUCAAUCAUGUCUCUAUCUUCCGAUGGGUUCUCAGCCUUGUUCUCUUCCUCUGAACUUAAGGCUGAAGAUAAAUGCUCUUCUUGUUCCUUUGAUUCUUCAUUUUCCUCCAAGACACCAAUGGCCACAUUAUCUUCAGACUGGCCGCUUGCAUUACCAGCUUCCUCCGUCUGUGUAGGCUCUUCAGUUUCAACUAGAUUCAUGGACAAAUCCUCUGGCUGAACCGAAACAUUAAUACCGCUGGCUUCACCAUCGGUCAUGUUUAUUUCUUCUGGUGUGUUUUCGGCCUUGGUUUCUUUCUCGGAACUUGAUGCUGAAGACAUAUGCUCUUGUUGAUCCUUUGAUUCUUCUUUCUUUUCCAAGACACCAGCCACAUUAUCUUCAGACUGGUCGCCUGCUUUACCAACUUCCUCCAUCUGUGUGGACUCGUCAGUUUUAACUAGAUUCCUGGACAGAUCCUCAGGCUCAACAGAAACAUUUAUACCGCUGGCUUCACCAUCAAUCAUGUCUGUAUCAUCCGAUGGGUUCUCAGCCUUGUUCUCUUCCUCUGAACUUAAUGCUGAAGACAAAGGUUCCCGUUGAUCCUUUGAUUCUUCUUUUUCCUCCAAGACACCAAUGUUAUCUUCAAACAGGUCGCUUGCAUUACCAACUUCCUCCAUCUGUGUGGGCUCCUCAGUUUCAACUAGACUCCUGGACAAAUCCUCUGGCUGAACCGAAACAUUAAUACCGCUGGCUUCACCAUUGGUCAUGUUUAUCUCUUCUGGUGUGUUUUCGGCCUUAGUCUCUUCCUCUGAUCUUAAUGCUGAAGACAAAUGCUCUCCUUGAUCAUUUGAUUCUUCUUUUUCCUUAUCUUCAGGCUGGUCGCUUGCAUUACCAAUUUCCCCUACCUGUGUGGGCGCUUCAGUUUCAACUAGAUUCAUGGGUAAAUCCUCUGGCUGAACUGGAACAUUUAUACCGCUGGCUUCACCAUGAAUCAUGUCUCUAUCGUCCGAUGGAUUCUCAGCCUUGUUCUCUUCCUCUGAACUUAAUGCUAUAGACAAAUGCUCUUGCUGAUCCUGUGAUUCUUCUUUUUCUCCCAAGACACUAACGGCCACAUUCUCAGAAUGGUCACCUGCAUCGCCAACUUUUCCCAUCUGUGCAGGCUCCUCAGUUUCAAUUAGACUUCUGGACAUAUCCUCGGGCUGAACCGAAGCAUUCAUACCGCUAGCUUCACCAUCAAUCAUGUUUUUCUCGUCCGAUGGGUUCUCGGCCUUAGUCUCUUCCCCAGAACUUAAUUCUGAAGACAAAUGCUCUCGUUGAUCUGAUUCUUCUUUUUUCCCCAAGACACUAACGGCCACAUUAUCUUCAGAAUGGUCACUUGCAUCACCAACUUCUCCCAUCUGUGCAGGCCCCUCAGUUUCACCUAGGCUCCUGGACAAAUCCUCUGGCUGAACCGAUGGAUUUAUAUCAAUCAUGUUUCUCUCGUCCGAUGGGUUCUCAACCUUGUUAUCUUCCUCUGAACUUAAGGCUGAAGACAAAUGCUCUCGUUGGUCCUUUGAUUCUUCUUUUUCCCCCAAGACAUCAAUGGCCAUAUCAUCUUCAGCUCGGUCACUUGCAUCACUAACUGUUCCCAUCUGCGCAGGCUCCUCAGUUUCAACUAGAUUCAUGCACAAAUCCUCUGGCUGAACCGAAACAUUUAUGCCGCUGGCUUCACCAUCAACAAUGUUUCUCUCGUCCGAUGGGUUCUCGGCCUUUUCUCCCUCUAUCACUGGUAGAGACGAAGGGGAGUCUGUACCUACUAAAAAAUAUAUUGAAAGAUAAAUUUACGGUUCUUUUUUGCCCCUAAAGUAAUCAUGCUACAAGGUGUCAUUGAUUUAAUGAACGUGCAUACCUCCCACUUGCUCUGCAGAGUAAGGCAAUUGAACUGAUGCAUCCACCAUCUCUGUGUCAGCGGUACUAGCUUCUCCACCAAGUUUACAACUGUCACCUCCUAGAAUCGAAGCAGAUUCUUCAGAAUCUUGUUCUGCAUUGGCAGAAUCAGAUAGAGGACUACCAUAAUCUUCAUGAACAAGUGAUAUAGAGUUCUUAUUGCUGGUCUGGGUCUUUAGUCCAUCAGUGUGCGGAAUCGACAAUUGGAUUGCAGCAGAACUUGGUCCAACAUCGCACAUCUGAUCAUCCGGACUCUCACCUUCUUUACAUUUUGCCUCGACCUCUUCACUCGUCUGAUUUGUAGUAUCGAGAGAUUUGCUAUCCACACGUGAACUUUCAUCAAAUCUCAUUGGAGAUCGUUGAGAUUCCUCAUAACUUCUCUCAAGCUCAUGAGACCCAACUGUGGGCUGCACAUUCAUCUGUUCUACUGGAAUCAAGGGGCUAGUUCCUUUUUUAUCACCAUCGAUUUCUUCACCCUUAACUUCAGUAGAUAGAUUUGCUACUUGCUGUUCUGUUGGCAAAGGUUCUGUAGUUGUCAACGAUGCAACAGAAUCGGGUAAAAUAUCUCCUGAAGACAGUUGCACCACAGAAGAAUCCGCUUCAACACCAGAUAUCUUGACAAGGUAAUUUCCGGCAUCUGCAACAACCACAGACAACUCGGUGCCACUAUCCCUGUUUGUAACCAAUUCAAUCGGACCACCAGACCCAGGGUGAGCAACAUCUGAGAUCAGAUUUUCCUCAUUCAUCGGAAAUUGUGAAGAUCCGGGAUUGUUAACACCACAAGACGUCUCUUCAGUCACAAUCUGGUCUGCAAGAGCUUCCUCAGUCGAAGUAUUAGGUGGACAAUUCGAAGUAUGGCCUACAGAAAUCAUUUCAGCCUUUUCGGAAGAAACAACAUCAUCGGAAUUAGUAGGAUUUAACUGCAGAUUUGUUUUUGCGGCCGUAUCACCCAAUUGAGACCUCACACCUACGACAUCCUUUGCCUCCUCAGGAUCAAGGACACACUUCAGAUCAUCGGAGUUAGGUGUCAGAAGCUCGCUCUCUAGAACUUUUUCAGAUAUGGAAACACUCAUCUCCAAAGAGCUUUUAGUCACAGAAUCAUUCAAGUCUUCAGGUACCUCCGCACUAGUUCCAGAAAAAUUGCUGCCACCACCAAUUUCAGAAGAAUUUGUAGGAGUAAUGCGACAAUCCAAAUCAGCACCGCUAGGUUUAUGGAUUUCAGGUGACUCAGGUUUCUUUGGAGAACCAUGUUCAUUGGAUGCUGAAGGCAUUUUCGAAUCUUCAACAACACAAGCAGAAGAAGCUGGAACAGUUUCCGAGGAAUCCUUCGAUAUCAGUCCAAAAAUUUCAGUCAUCUUCAUUGCUUGAGGAGAAACUGAAGGUGAUAUAGAUGGUCCUGCCUGUUUAUUAGGAGCCUCAGCGGAAUCAGCAUUAGGAGUUGGUAAGCUUUGCACAUUACCAUCAUUCUGAGGCUCCGGUGAUUGACUUUCUUUGUUUAUCUCAGGCAAAACCUCGUCUACAGGGCUUUUGGAAUCAACCGGGACAGUACCUUGAGCUGGAGUAUCAUCAGAUUGAUCAACAGGAGACUUAGAUCCAGGUGAAGGUUUUACAGUUUCAUGGACCAGCAUAGAAGAAUCAGAAAUUUUAUUUUCUUCUGAAACAUUGGGAACAGGCGCUGCUAUUUGUACCUUUGGAUCAGUUGAUGUUGCUACUUUCUGUUCCGUGUUAACUAACUCGCUACCCACAGGACGUUUCGAGUCAGCGAGCAUAGUAUCUUGUGGUGUUAUAUCAUCAGAGUGAGUAACAGAAGCCUUAACAUCAGAUGAAGUCUUAAUGAUUUUAUCAACCAUGACUGAAGACUCAGACUUUUGCUUUUCGGCUGUAACACUGGAACUGGUUGCUUCUACUCCCAAGUUAUGAUCGGCAGGUUGGAUUAUAUUCUCUGCCUUGCUGGUCUUAGCUAUGUGCAUAUUCAUCGUUUCCGAGGAUUUUCCAUCUGGCUCAUUUGUUACCGUUGUUUCAGGAGGCUCCCCAACUUUAUGCUUUAUCAGGGAAGUCUCUGAAAAUAUCUCUUUCAUGACACGAGCAACAUCAGUCACAUCAGUAGUUUGUUUCCUACCAGUACCACCAACACCUGAUAUUUCUUUUCUUUUUUCCUGACUUGUACCGGCAGACGAGUGUGCAAGUGACGGGUUGAAAUGGGGUUGUUCUUGGACAACAACAUCAGACUUGUUUCCAACUGAUGUAAUUUUGGAUCCUGAUGAAUCACCAACCUUGACCUCAGUUUGUGGUGUUGAUAUUGUACUCCGUGCAGAAGAGCCAUCAGCAGUAGGUGAAGCUUGAACAUGUCUCCUUCCUCGCCGUCUAGGAGUUUCUCCUCUGUUUGGCGUCUUCCGACCUUGCCUCUUCACAGGCAUGGGUGCAGGAGGAGAAAGAACACUGGCGCCUUGAGCUGCAAAGACGACAGUGCAUAACCAAUAUGUAACGGUUAAAUUGAAAAACGAAAACAGUUUAAUUGAGUUUCGAUGCUUCAAAUAUUUGUACCUUCAACUGUAGAACCAACAACGUGGGGACUCAAUGGCUGAUUAGCAUUUAAAGGUGCAGUUGUCUGGCUUUGACCUGGGGCUGCCAAAAAAAAAAUUGAUGCUGUUAAGAUUCUUGUGAACAAUAUCUUCUGAUGCAUGUAUGUGAAAACAAUUAAGCGAUGUGCUAGUUAUAUACCGAUGUGCUAGUUAUAUACCUAAAGCAGUAGAGCUUGGCAUGUUAACUGGCUGUUUUAGAACUCCUGAACCCUGGUUAUUUCUUACAUCUGGAACAGCAGGCUUGUUCUUUAAAGAAGCUGCUUUUUUUACCAAGGAAUCAUCCGAUACAUUUAGCGGCUGAACAUGUGAUCCAGAACCAAAACCAGGCGGUGCAUCUAGCAGGCUACUUUCUUGUAGGGAGACAGCAGGAGAGGGCUGCACAGCAGUAGUAUCAGAAUGCAUGGAAGGCCCCGACUCAAGAUUAGAACUACUUCCUUUAAUAGGCUUAGGGACUUUUGCAUCAAUAGCAACCGAAGCGACGGGAAGAGUUACUAAAUUGGACGCUACAGGAUCACCAGAAAGAGAUGCUCGGGCAUUAGUUCUCUGAGUACCUAUGGAACUAUCAGCACCAUGCAACAUAUUUUCCACUCUCCUUCCUCUACCUGCACCACGUCCCCUGCCUCUUCCCCUGCCCCGACCUCUCGUUGGCAUUGGGGAAGAUGGAAGUGGUUGAAAACCAGGCGGAACAGAUAAAUCAGGGGAAGUAAGACUUCCAGAGGCAACAUCGGAACCAAUAACUGGUGAUGAUCUGGCAUCCCCUGUUGCAUGUGUCCUGCCAGGAACUGAUGCAGAUAAUUGAUUCGGCGUUUUAUCAGCUCUUUUUGGCCUGCCGCGGCCCCGUUUUACAGGUUCUGUUACUUCUUUCAGUGGCUGCUGUGAUUUCUGUAGAGGUUCCACGGGUUGUGGAGUCAGUGCCAAUGCUGUAGAUGUAGGGAGCACUGUGUCACCAGUGCUUCCAGCCAGAUUAUCUACUUUAUCAGUUGCCAAACUCUUUUCACCAGUGUUUCCAGUCAGAAUAUCUACUUUAUCAUUUGCCAGACUCGUUUCACCAAUGUUUCCACCCAGAAUAUUUGAUGAAGAAUUUGCCAAGUUCUUCUCACUUUCUUCUUCCUUGCCUCUGGGAGAAUCGGUUGACUCAGUCUGGCACAUCUUUUCAAAUUCCUCCUCUGUCAAUUGCUCUUCAUAAGAUCGAACCUGAGAAGUUGCAAUUUUGCCAAUUUUAAGUAAUAAGGAAAGGUGAUACCAGCAGCAUCAUAGUAAGGUACAAAAUUGAAUGUUAAAAUAAAAAAGACUGAACAAACCUCUCUGGCACGUUUGCCUCUUCCAUAUUGCUGAGUAUCCAAGCCUCCUACGGAACCACCCUUCCGCUUCAUGCCAACAUUUGAUUCUACUGCAACCAUCGGGACAUUAUUCAUUUUCAUUGCUUCAUAGAGCAGUUUUAAGUCAUCCUCAGUAACAAGACGAGAGGGGAUAGGUGGUAUGGGUGCAGAACUUUUUGACCCUGACCCCUGUACCAGGCUCUUCCAGGUUUCCUACAGAGCCAUGGCAGAUUAAAAUAGUAUCAUAAAAUGGAAACAAAAUUAAAGUUCUUAAGGAAAACAUACCAUCUCAUCUUCUUUUCUUUGAUUGUCGAUGGAUUCAAAAAUAUCAAUCUCCGACUCCCUAGAAAGACAACAGAAAUGUCAGAUCUACAAGAACUGCAUGGAAAUGUAAAGAGAGUUCCAUCUAAAGAGUAAAAUAGAAGAAACUCAAGCCAUUUAACCGAGAACACAUGAAAAUACCUAGUAUGGAAAACGACAGCAGAAACUACUUUACAUUAAGAAAGUAAAAACAUUCCAUAAACCCGUUUGAAGUAAUCAUAGUGCAAAUUUAAGAAACCAAAUUAAACCAAUAUAUAUGCACAGGUAAUAUUCUACAAGAAAUGAUAAACCAGCAGUCACCUUCGGGCUAUAAUAUCAUUUAAGGCAUCAUCGUCCAACACUGGAGCAGCCUCCUCUUUCUUUGACUCACGUAACAGGGAUUCCAAAUAUUCCUUACGAUCUUCGGCGCUGUUACAAAACAACAACGUGAUUACAUUAGAAAGUUGGUAGCUAGAACUCUUGAAGCAAAAAUGGAUGUCUCUGGGUUUACCUUGUGUUAUUGUCGAAGAAGCCAGCCGUUAUACUCUGGUUAGCAACUCCAAGCUUAUGUUCGGCUGAAGCUCUAACUUGCUCCUCAACAGUAUUGACCUUAACAUACAAGAAAGAAACUAAGUCAGACGAUUUUAAUAAACUAAAUAUGUAUCCGUCGAAAGGGUACACGCAGGGAACAAAUUAAAAUGUCCCAAGACUACAUAUUUAGUCAUGAAAAACAACAAUAGAUUUAUGAGAAGUGCACUAAAUUAAGAAGCCACGUAUCUUUACAGGAAUUUAAAUUCCUUGCAAACAACAGCAAACUAACCGUUUCAAAACGAAGAACUAGAACAUCUCUUUUCUGCCCAAUCCUGUGAGCCCUUGCUUGAGCUUGUAGAUCAACCUGAAAUAUAAAAUAUAUGCUCUUCAAUAUCCGAACUGAUGUCCACAGUAAACUAUAUAACUUGACAUGCAGGACUGCUAUGUCUAACCUGAGGAUUCCAGUCGGUGUCAAAUAUUAUAACGGUAUCAGCAGCUUGAAGAUUAACUCCUACUCCACCAGCCCGUAUGCUGAAUUCCCAUGAAAGAUUCAGUUAUCACAUCCAGAUACUUAUGAGUAUUAAAGCUACUUUACUAUGACCGGCAGAGAAUUUAAUGACAGCGCUUACAACUUGUAAUUCUGAAUGUAACAUGAAUUAUUCUGAUAAGAGCAUAAAUAUUAAAAAAAAAAGCGAGCCAUGAUAUCAUGUGUUACCUCAACAAGAAAAUGAAAUAUGGGGAAUCAGACUUGUUAAAUCCGUCAAUAAGAGCACCCCGAUCACCCCCAGAUGUGUGCCCAUCCAACCUAAGGUAUUUGUAUCCCUUGAAGGUGAGGUAAUCCUCCAUAACAUCAAGAAGCCUCGUCAUCGUUGAAAAGAAGAGAACCUGCGGAAAUUCAUACCAAAAAGUAACAAACACUUAAUGCAUCUGCAGUCAAAUUUGGGUUGACAUGCAGCAGAGUAACAAAUAAUGGCAUCAUUGUGCAUUUCACAAAAAAAUAGAAUUCUGCAUAGUUAAAACAAUAAAGUAAAGGAGAAAUCUAGUUGAAAUAUACCAAGCUUACUCCCAAAAUUAUAAAUGCUUCAUGCAAACAAAGCAACUAUAAAUAAAAUUCAUGUGAUCAAUCUCUCAGAGGCCAGGGCACUGGAAGGUAUAUUAGCAAAUUACAUGAAAUCUCGUAAUACAACUUGAAUUAGAAAAACCCGUUCCAUUAAUAUGAUAGUGAAGAAAAAUCAUUACCCGAUGGUCUGUUGCUUUGAGUUUGGGCAAGAGCCGGUCCAACAUCUCAAGCUUCCCACACAGUCUUAUUACCGGAGGCAGAUAAUGCUCAGGAAUUAAGCUAUUGACCUAGAGAAAGUGAAUUACGCAGACCCUUCAUCAGAACUUUCUUAAUUCCCUAACCAGAAGUUCUUUGCAUUUACGUAGAUUUUUCCGGGAAAUAUUACCUCCUCUGUAUGAAGUUGGCUGAGAUAUGGAUGAUUGCAAAUAUUUCGAAGCUCCAUCACUGAGUUGUGCACUGCACGCGACUGUAAAAAGAAAACUAACUAAGAAAUAACUAAACAGUAUAAAAAAGAUGACAAUACGCAGAGCACAAAACAGCACCUUCAUGUUUCCAAGCGAGCCCAGAUUAUCCUCAACUCUCUUCAUCAACAGCUUCUGAUAUGCAGAAGCCUCGCACCGUAUGAGUCUCUCUAUCUUUUCAGGAAGUUCAUUUUCAACCUACCAAAAUAAAUUAGAUGAUGCAGUUAAAUUAAAGUUAACACAAAAAUACUCAGAUGCAUGCAUUUUAUGGCAAUAUCCUACCAGAUCACUAAAAUACGGAAAGCGAUACUAGAACGACAUGGUUGGAGACUACAAAAAGGAACAAUGUUGAAUGGCAAAUAUCAUGUUAUGAACCUUAUGUUUCAGCCGCCGCAACACGAAUGGUCGAAGAACUUGGUGAAGACGAUUGAUGAUCAGCAGAUUCUCCUCUUCUGAUAGCAACGCCUAGUCAAAUGGCAAUCAUAAGGUUGUCGUUAACCACGAUGUCUUAAGUUUAGUAUACCCGUAAUUAUCUGAAUAAGAAGACAGUCAAUGCUACCUCUUCAGCAGAAUUAUCUCCAUUACUUUGAAAUGGUUUGUUGAACCACUGUGAGAAGUCUUCUGACGAGUUGAAUAUAUUAGGUAACAGGAAAUUAAGCAGCGCCCACAAUUCUUCCAGGUUGUUCUACAAGAUAUAUAAAUACUUAGAUGAUGAGCAAUAAUAGCAACAAAAAGAUGUAAAACAAGAACAUGGGGUAAAAUAAAGGUUAGCAGGAGAAGAGUGAAAAAGUACCUGCAAUGGCGUUCCAGUUAACAGGAGUCGGUGGGAGCUAUUGUAGUGUUUUAGGUCUGCAUUCAACUUGCAAGAUGCAUUCUUUAUACGAUGUCCUUCGUCAAUAAUAAUGUAAUGCCAAAGGAUCUUGCUUAAUUUAGGCCUAUCGUGCUUGUUCAUUAGAUAUUCAUAUGUUGUCAGAAGCACAUUGAACUUCUGAUGAACAAUUUGCUCCCUGCAAUUAAAAAGUAAUAAUAAUGAACCUUAAAAUCUUAGACAUAAAGAAAAACAGUAAUUAAACUUUUCUCUUUAGUACUUGAAGAGCUUGCGCCUCUCCUCCGGAGGGCCACAAUAGACAAUUUUCUGAAUUGUAGGGGCCCAGAAGUUAAUUUCUGACACCCAGCCAGGCAGCACAGAGGAUGGUACAACAACCAAGAAGGGACCUCUAUCAUUCUUUGUGUCCAUCAGAUAGCAAAUCAACGAAAUCACCUGUAAAAAGAAGAAACGAAUUAUAACUUAAGCAACAAAUGCAUCUAAUAACCAAUUUAAAACAAAUAAAUCAUGUGCACAUAUGUACCAAAUGCGAAUGGGUGCGCCAUUAAAUACCUGAACAGUUUUUCCGAGACCCAUCUCAUCAGCUAGAAUGCCAUUUAAAUGAUUGUUGUACAGGGAAAGAAGCCACCUUAGGCCAUUCAUUUGGUACCUAAGAAAGAAGAUUUUGUUGUUUUAAGUAACCCACGACAUACUUGUAAAAAAAACUAGAAGGUGCUCAAAUGUACAGGAGUAAAAGAAGCGGGUAUGGUCCACUUACUCCCUUAAUUUUCCACCCUUUAGGGAAGCUGGCUGCUCGUUAAUACUUUCUUUUAUGCUGUAAAAACAAGUUUUCUUGUAAGUAGAAGAGAGAUGAUCCAGCAAAACUCUAUUUUACAACCAACAAAACCACCAUAUUGGAUAAAAAGCAAAGGGAAAAAUGACAAUCCUGGUAUGAUUGAAUCAGAAAACUAGUAGUUUUGUUCAUUUUGGAUGAUUUGUGGAGUAAUUAUACGAAGAAGCAAGAUUACCUGUGAGCCAUCAAGUAGUAUUUUUCAUUGCUUUCCAGGUAGUGCUGUUUAGAAUACAGAUGGCAACAACAUCAGAAAAGAUGGAGGAAGGCUCAAAGAAAAUGUAAUCUUAGGAACGAUGACUUGCCUUUGCCUGGUCACUCUCAUCGUCAUUAUCAACAGUUUUAUCCUCAACAGGUGCCUCAUCUGCCUCAUUCUCAAAUCGACUGGCUAACGAUUUUGCCUCCUUUAACUUGGAUCCAAGCUUUUGAAGGUACUUCUCUGUCUCUUUGAGUAGUUGCAUUACUCGAUCUGACUUGGCAUCCUAUAUAUUCACCCAUCGACCUUAUUUCACAGCCAAGAAGAAGUAACGUAACCCUAAAACUUCCAAAGUUAGUUCAGUGAAUCAAACCUGCACCAUACGAAGAUAACCCUCCACAUCAUUAAUCUUUAGCAAAUUAAUCUUCUCCCGCUGAAUUUUGUCGAUCUUUUCACGAUGAAAACGUUCCUUUCUUUUGUGGAACUCCUUUACAUAUCUGUUGAAGCCCUUCCACCUUUCUCUCCUAGCUUUGGAUAAAUCAUCUAGCCUUUCCCUAAAACAAGGUUCAAUCAAAAUUUGAUAUUUAAGAAACAGUUAACUCAAUACACUUAUGUUCUACUAGGCUCACAAAACAGGUCAAGAGAAAAAUAUGGCUUAAGAUGGAAAACUAAUUGCACGUACUUGUGAACUUCUAUCUCCCCAAAGAACUCCUUCUGCCUCUCACGAAUUCUCCUCUGUCGCUCUUCCUUCAUCUUCUGCUCAUAUUUCUCAAGCUGUCUAAUCCGCCGGCCAUGCUUAUGUUUUUUAUAUGACUUUAGGUUCUCAACAUCAUUUGCAAUAGGUUUGAAGAAGUUGUGAAGAAACUCACUGCAACGAAUUAACAAAGAAUUAGUAACUGAGAGAUGAUAUGACAAGUUGAACACAUACAAAUAAAAAUUUGCAUUUCGUCUAGCAAUUACAGAAUAGCUAGUUGAAUGUCUUGUAAGCUCGACAUAUUGGGAUAUUAGGCAUUAAAAGAAGGUGAAACAUCCAACGAAUGAGAAAACAAUCUUAACAUUUUUUUAAACCAAUUACCUUCUCAAACGACGUUGCAGACUCAACAACUGAAGCUUUUUCAGUUCUAUUACACUCUUAGUCUUUGUAGAUAUAUCCUCCGAGGAAGUAACAGAUUCCUGUAUAUUAAGAGAUGUACAUCAGUCGCGAGAACCAAAUAAAGUAAUGACACAAGUAAAACUAGUUUACUCCAAAUGUUAAGGCAGUUUCGGAAAAAAUGGCACAAGUCCAAAACAAAUAAUCCUAGCAGUUACUUCAAAUAUAAAACCGAGAAGCAAAUGCACAACAAGCAAAUACAUGGUCAAUCAUUUACCGGAUAACAAUACCAUGCCUAUAUAUAUACAGAAAUAGAUAUUUAAAAAUGACUAUUAAUCUCCAAUCAUAAGAGAAAAGGAUAUAGAAAUCACCAGAAACAACAUGAACAAUGCAUAAAGUUGAACACGGAAAAAAAUAAGCACUAGUAAGAAGUAAGAACUAAGAGUCGAAAUUAUUACAAAAAAAAAACGUACGACAAAAGAGAGGGCAAGAGAGAGAGACCUUCAACUCAUUGAACCGUGCACCAAUUGCCUGGUCUGCUUUCUGCUGUUUAAGACCCCAGCUCCGAUCAACCAAAUGUCUCUUAUUCUGUCGAUCCAUAAUCCACUUCUGUGACAUGGUGUACUUAGGCGGCGGUUGCACGUUACCCUCCUCUUGAUCUGCAAAGUACCAUACAUCCAUGUUAGAAUUGUAUCAACCACAUUAAUCCAAACUUUUCUACUCAAAAGAGUCAGUCUUAUUAUCAACAAUUCGCUCAUCAAAGGUAGUCCACUGACCUGGAGCACAUAAUUCUUCUGAUUCAAAAGUAAAAGUUGAGGCCUCAUUACGGUUAAUAGUUCCGGUCCACCCCACCAUCUCUACUGGUGCGUGUUUGGUUACACCGCCUGAAGAAGAAGCCAGCUCAGAAUGACUACCAGAAACCUGAUUUUGCGCUGGAGCUUCUGGGGUGUUAGAUUGCAGAAGAAGCUUUUGCCCAUCAGGAAAUAUAGCAUUUGAUAUUUUGUCCUCCAAUCGUGGCAUCACUGUUUCUUUUGAUGAGAAGUCCAUCUCAGCCAAUUUUCCGGUAGGAUUAUCCAUUCUUGCUGAUGGAGCUGAGACUUCGACAAUGCUACCCGAUUCACUAAGAGAAUGUGGUCUUCCUUUCUGAUCCACGAGUUCCCUGCGGAAACCAUCUGUAUUGCAGGACAAUUUCAAUCCAAGAGAAUGCAUGUCAAAAAUGAUUAAGCAAAUAACCUAAGGGAAAGCAAAUAAUUACCAUCUUUGGGGAAGACAUUUCCAAGGGCGAUAUCAAUGUGCAGCUUCUUUGGCAUCAAUCCAUUUCUAGGAGAAGGAAAUCAGUCAGACCUUUUCAGAGUACCAAUUGAACGAAACCGAGGAAACAAGAGGUUAGGAGACUGAAAUUACCUGAGAGCUAAGAACACAAGGCACUGGGCUCUGAGCUGCUUCAAUUGCUGCUCUUUAAAAAGUUGACCUGAAGGCGGAGCAUCCUCUGCUGCGACAGAUUUUCCAGUAUCUCUAUGAGCUGGAGGCCUGAUUGCUGUGAUUUCACUGUUUUGCCAUCCACCCUGCCAUUGAAACGAACAUUCCGCGUCAAGAGGGCAUUGUUAUUGACUAGGCUUCGGCAGAAGUAAAAGAGAAGAAACUUUUGUAGAACUAUAUGCAUGUAAGAUCCAAAACCUCACCGAAUGGGAGGUUUUGACAGAGAUUGCGCUUUUUGGAAAAUAAUUGACCAAUAGAAAUUCAAUUAAAUACUUCAUAUUUAAAUCAAUGAAAAUAAGGGAAAGGAAAAAAAAACAGAUAGGAUUCUUAUAAGAAGGACAAAUGCUUCCGCAUCUCCUAAUUCAAAUUUCAAAAAUGUAUCGAAUAAGAUUAGUGAAAAGUCGUAGCAUAUGAUUUCAACAAGUAAAAAUGCUAUGAAUAUAGCAUGUUAUGGAAACCCAAGCAUGCCAACAAACUUAUAAUGUAAAUGUAUGUACCUGAGGAGUGGUGUAUGCAUCUGAUGACAACCCGACAUGCAAAUUCUCACCGUCACCUGGGUUUUAGUAAGAAAAAAAAAGUACAAUUAAACUAACGAGUUAGCAAUUAACGGCAUGCACAAAUAACAGCAUAGUAGGAUACAAUGCUGUUAUUCUUAACUUAGAAAUUAUAAACAAAAAGGUUGUGUUAAAAUUUCUUGAUUUAAAAAAAAAAAUUCCUACCUGUAGCAGGCAUUUCCACUUUGCUCAUUUUUCUAGUCUGGUCAUCAACGGUCCCAUGAGUAUCAAAUUGCUGAGAAUUAUCCAUGUUCUGAUCCCACGAAAACGAUGAUUCACCCCUUUUUCUCUUUGCACUUGACUUUGCAUCUCUUUGAUUCAUUGUCUCAUUCCUAUCGUGAGACUGAGCAUUUCCCGGCUUAGAAUCCAAGCUGGAUGGACUGUCAUGAUCGACGGAUCUGUUACUUCGACUUCCAGGCCCUUGGUAAACGGCUUGUGAUGCACUGGUUGAUCCACCAAGCUGCCUAGCAGAAGUGAAUGCAUCAUAUUUUGACAUCUCAUUUUCAACUAGACUUGCUUUGGACUCAUUGUUAACUCCAACGACUUGAGAAGACCCUGUAUGAAAAUUUAACACAACAAUAAGACACAAGUACGCGAAUUUUCACAUUAAAAAAACAAAACUUUAAAAGAGAAAAUAAAUAAAUAUACCAGCAAUAUGUGCAGAUCCAGAAUCUUCCAUUUGGGUACUACUACCACCAGCAUGAGGAAGACGAGGGGACGUCAAAGCUUCAAUGUCAAGACCAUGUUGAUUGACGACAGUCUCCAUGGCCCUAUAAGUUUUGGAAAGAAAACAUCAGAAGAACUAAAGUGAAAACAUGAACAAAAGUUUAUAAUUCUCCAAAGCACGAAAUUAAUAACUAUUUCGCCACAUUGCAAGUGAAUUAAAUCGAGGCAAAACCAGCAAAAGUUUCAAGUCUCAGCUAGUAAUAUAGACACCGUAUGUAACCACCUCUCCAUCACCACAAGCAGUGUCUUAGUGCAAAACAAUACCUUGAUAUGACCUGAUACGGCAUUGAGUGUUCCUUCCCACUGGUUUUCAUGUGCUGCAAUAUCUGAAGCAAUCAAAAAGAAAUACAUAAAGUUAAAGCAAAUGAUUAAAACCUCAAAUCAAAAAAAAAUAAGCCACACAGACACACACACACCACAUAGAGCUUUGUGGCUAGCUUCGAAGGUUCAUCUUUGGAAUCUUGAAUGAGCUUGUGCAGAAACUUAGCUGCCUCCAGCUCAAUAUUAUGUGAAGAAGACGACAUCUUUAAUUCUUAUUACACCAGCAACAACCACAUCAUGUAAGAAAACCCUGCAUCACUGAAACAUCCAAAGUGAUAACUAUCAUCUCCGUCAAAAAGCUAACAUCUUUGGUUCGUAAUUAAGUUAAUAGAGCGAGAGAAACGAGGAAAGUCGACGACUUUCCCCCAGGAAAAUGCAACCCUAAUCAAACGAGAGUUGAUGAAACCCAAAUCGAAACCCUAGAAAGCGAUCUAGCGGCAAAAUAGGAAGAAGGAAGAGCUUUAGAGCUUUACCCAGUCGGAGAUCUGAUGGUAGGAGCGACGAAGGAGAAGGGAAAUUGAGGCGAGAGCGUUGUGGUGAGGUGAGGUGAGAUUGGAGUGAAAGGCGUGUGAGAAAUGGCGUCGUCGCUUUGAGGAACCAAUAAAAGAAAGCGAAUUAGAGUUCCUGCUUGUAUAAUGAAGGGUCUAAAUAUAAACCACUGUAUAUUAGCUUCUACUUAUUAAAAAACGAAAAAAUCUUCCUCGAUUUUAAAAUAUAGAUGUUUCAAAAAGGUUGUGUUCAAGUAAAAUCUAAAUUAUGUAACUGAUUAUAUUUUGUAAUUUGUUUUAUAAUUAUAUAAAAUGUUUAAUAAUAUUUGAAAAUAAAUUUAUCUUUUUAAUAUUUGUGUUAUCAUCUACAACAUCAUAUGUUUUGAAACUUAAAAUAACAAAUAUAAAUAUUCCAAAAUUGAAAACUAUCUAUCUAGUAUUUUUUUUUAUUUACUUACUAGGGUCGGUCCGUCCUGGGCGGGAAUAUGAUUCGAAAAUAAUUUAAAUAGUUAAAGUAAAUAUUUUUUUGAUUUUUGUUUAAUAUUUGUUUUUGUUUUAAAAUGUUUUGUUCUAUAUUACUAUGAAUCAUUAUUUAUUGAUUGUUAUUCUUUAUUCAAUUCCAUUCUUAUUACAAUUAACUAAAAUUUUUCUUUACGGUAAAUAAGAUUGUUUAUCAGAAAUUUUAUUCUGUUUUUAUUUUCAUGGUGUUGAAUUGUUGAUUUAUUUGUUUAAUUUGAAGUUAUCUAAUUUUAUUCAUUUUCUUACAUUAAUUUAUAUCGUGUGUCUCUUAUUCGACUAUAUAACUAUGUUUUUUACACAGUUGUGGAUCUAUGUUUAUAGUAUUUUUUAAAACAUUCUUGACAUAAAUAUGCAAAAUACAUUCUACAUUUAUUUAGUUACAAUAAGUUCAAAUCUCUUUUGUACAAAAAACAAUUUUCUUUUUUCUUUUUAUAUUUAUUUUUUUGUUUCUGUAUUUUAUUCUAUUUUUCCUAACAAAUUUAUUUGAUUUUUGAUUAUCUAUAAUUUUUGUGCUGUGGUAAAUCUUUUUAAUCUAUUAUGUAAUACUAUCUUUUAAAAUAGUAUAACUCCAAAUCUGAAACCAAUGUCUUAGUUCUUUACAUAUAAUAAGUCAAAUCGAUAGUUGUUUCCUCAAAAUGAUGGAGGAAUUAAUUGUAUUAUAAUAUACCAAAAUUCAAAAUAAAAUAAUUGCUGUCUACAUAAAGUUUGAGUAUCUCAUAUUGAUUAUGGCUCUACCUAGUGAAACAACCGUAUUGCAAAUAAGAUAAUACGUUAAAAGAAAAUGAUGAGCAUCUACAUUUGUAUUCAAAGGAUCAGACUUUAGACGGAGACCAAACUCACAUGAUCAAUCUGCCGCGUAGCAGGCGUGACCAUCCCAUCAACAGCCUUAGUCAAAUCACUGUAAUAACCUGUGUUUUAAAUGGCGCAUGGCGAUCCAAGGCGAUAAGGUGUGUGCCUUGCGCCUUGCGCCAUGGCGCAAGAAAGCGCUCGCCUUGAAGACCCACUUGAAGACUACGUUAGUUAUGUAUCCGUGCGUAAUAUACAAAUUUCAUUCACGUGAUUUUGCCUUUAUUAAAUAGUUUUUAUCAGAAGAAAGCCCCAUGAGAUUAGAGAAGAGAGUACGUACUAACCUUAUGCAAAACACAGUCCGUGAGAUCCAUGUUUUGUUAAGUUUUUAACUUUGCUUUUCUACAAGAGCAAGCUAGGGUUUUGAUAAGUUUUUAGACGUUUGGUUUUAAGUUUGGUUUAAGGUUGGUCCAUUUAUUAAGUUAGGGUUUCUACGUGGUUUAGUAUCGGUUAACGUCAUCGUCUCCAUAGCUCGCCUUUGCGUUGCCUUUUAAGGCACCGCCUUAUGACCAAUGCGCACUUGGCGAGCGCCUUACGGAACCCACCCUCGCCUAGGAGGUACAUGGCGAUGGAGCCGUCGCCUGAGUGCGCCUCGCGCCAUGGCGCAAAAGGCGAGCGCCAUUUUAAACACAGGUAAUAAC
Molecule: long non-coding RNA, 80198 nt
Filed under: Brassica napus (rape)
Lineage: Eukaryota; Viridiplantae; Streptophyta; Magnoliopsida; Brassicales; Brassicaceae
Description: long non-coding RNA (BNAP_LNC002280)
Source: RNAcentral